AUGUAGAGUGAAAGAUAUUUGACUUUCUAACUUCACCAUUGUUCAGAAAGGGCAAAAAUUGGCUGUUGAAAUCAGUUUUGUCCAAUCAAUUUUCAUUUUUCAGUGAGAUUGCAAAUGAAAAAGAAUUUGGCUCUAGUCUGCCUUACUAGCCAAUUUGUGGUGCUUUGUCAAACACUGUUUCUGAAUCUGCUUUGAUUUGGCCGGCAAUUAUCUAGUGUUUUUGUUUUGAGUGGCAGUAUUAUCUCUUCUCUGACUUUUGUAACUAUACUACCAAUUUAUUUUCAAUUAGGUAAUUUUUCAUCCCAUUUUUUUUUGCUCUCUUUUUAGAGGUCUGUGCUGUUGGUGCUUAGUUAUGUUUUUCUAUAACAAAUUCCAAACUAUGAUACUUACUCGAAUUAAUUAAAUCCGCUAAAGGUAAUCAAAAUUUUAAAACUAUGUUUUUUAUGAGAAUAAAACUAUACAUAUGUUAUUUUCUGAGAAGCUAUCUUAAAAAGCAUAUACUUGUGUUUAGUGUAAUUUUGAAUUUUCCUAUUUAACUCUUGUUCCUUCCUAUGCAUCAAAUGUACUAUGGAUGGCCCAGAUUUGUUCAAGGUUCCUGUGUGCAUUUAUUUAUAGGGUUGGAUCCCCAUCAUCAUUUUUGAGAUAAAAAUAAUUCUUCAAUUCCUUGAGCAAUACACUAACUAAAUUAUGAAAUUUUACAUGAAGUAUUUUGAAUCUUUAUCUUUAUCAAUUUUCAAAAUAUCUACUAAUCAGUUUCUUGAACUGUUAAUUUACUUAUAACUAGUGGAUCAGUGAUUGUCAAACAAUUAAAUUGGGUACUAGAAAGAUUUUGUACUCUCUGACUAUGGCAAAGACUACAUCUGGCUCUCUAAUGUUUAGUUUCUUUUAUCUGCAUUGGGUGAUGGAGCAGAUUCAUAUAUGAGUGGCAUAGCAAAUCUCAUGAAUUUUAAGAAGACGGGAGCACCAAACUGGUGUCUUCAUAUUUAAGUGGCAUAAAUAAAAUGCAUAACUACUUUUAGUUUUUGCAUUCAAUAUGUAUUCAUUUAUGAAUCACAAAGCAAUAAAUUGUAAAAAAAAUAUUGAAUUGGGGUUGUUUUUGAUAAUACAUGGGACAACAAAUUAUGCAUGAUUGGAGAGUGGAGAAGAAGCAGUAGGUAUCAGCUGCAUGAGCAAAAGGAUUUUAAUGAAUAUGUGUUGCCCUAGGUAAAUUAAUUCAGUUACUAGGAUCAUCGUAAUAGUUUUAGAUCAUGGCAUCUUUUAUGUGAGAUAGACCGUGGAUGGAAAUUUUGGGACUGCUGAUUGUGCAUUCUGUGUGAGCUUAGUUACUAUUAGCAGUCUGAUGGAUCUAUAUAUACAAAUAUCUGAUGUACACAUAUGGAAGUACAUAUGCACACAUACAUGUAGAUAUGUAUACAAAUGAUAGUAUUGAUGGAAGGUGCAAUUGUAUCAAAUCAUGAAAAGAAAAGGCAUGCAUGGCUGCAAAUGAAAUCACACUAGGCACACCAAGCUAAAAGUCAAGUUUGAGUGCUGUGUCCUGAAUAGUUUUGACAUACAUAUGUUUAUUUGGUUAGCACCUUGUAACCCAUAUUGUUGCCUCCUAUUAGAUGGCACUGCAUGGAUAUAAUUGUUAGAGAAUUGAGCGUAUAAUUAUGAUGUGGCACACUGGUUAGAGCCAGACAGAUGGAAGCAGAAUCUUUUUUUUUUGGCGCCUUUGGGUGGGGGUGGUUAGGCAGGAUAACACGCCACUUCAACCUCAGCCACCCCAAAGUUUUUUUAAUAAAUAUUUGAUCAGGUAUUCUUAAUGUUUGGCUAUAUGUUUAAUAGACUGCCCCUUUCGAUCAAUUGUGUUGACAUUGUUAUGACAUUCCUUAUCAGUUACUUCAUGGAUUAAACUUGUAUAGGCUUUGUAAUCUGCCCCAACAAUCAAAGGGACUAGUUGUCAAGUUGCUUCGUGGCUCGUAGUUGAGUUGCUUUAAUUUUUUAAUAAUCCAUGAGUUGGGAAUUUAAAGGAGGGUUGCUGUAUUGCCUUCUUUAAACAAUAAGGAGGUAUUUUCAUUUACUCCUAUCUAUCAACAGUUAUACAUGGACGGUCUGGAUUAUAUGUAGUGAUUUUCAGGAAAGUCAAACCCUCCCAUUGCACAACUUGCACCCACAAUAUUCAGAAAACAGAACUCUUUUCUUUAAGUUAUGAAUUCAACUCUAAGUUGAGUUUGGAAAAAGAAGAAACUAAACUUGCACCCAUUGCAUAACUUUUUCAUAUCUAAGUUUGAUCUUUUAUGAUAUUUUUUGGGAAAAAAAUGAUUUUGAUGCCCUCCUUUUUUCCCCUUUUUCAUCAAAGAAGAGGAAGAGUAAUGUCUAUUUUCUUGAUUCAUAUAUUUUAUAUUUUUAAUUUGUUUUAUUUUUUUCUCAAUUUUUAUUCAUAUUAUGCUUUUUAACUCACUUGUAUAUCUGAAAUAUUUUGAAAUUCGAAUACGGGAGCAAUAUCUUCUGCUCUCUCUUUUUUUAGUUGCUUGCACCUUCCUCCUAGAACCCACCCCGACCAAAAUAAACAUAAGUAGCGCUAAAAUCUUGGAUCUGGCAGAUUGGCACCAAUGUUACAGGUGCAUCUUGGCAUGCACUUUCAUUCUUUAGAAGUACAUUCUUGUAUACAAACAUACACACGCCUCUAUACAUACACGCCCCUCUAUGUGGUGACAUGCUUUAAGGGAUGAGUCCUUUGUAAGUUUAUUUAUAUGGCGUUCUGUUGUGUUGGAAUGGCGUACACUCCAGCACUUCUUUCCUGAAAUUGAUUCUAUCAAGCUGGGAUCUUAAAGGAAACUUGGAGACCGACCAUGCAUGCUUUGCUGCCCAUCUUUACAUUUUUGCCAUCUGUGUCAACUUAAAUAUUAGAGCGAUCUAGCAUGUACACCAAUUGCUGGAAAUUAGGAAACUCAUCAUUCUUUAGCUCCUCUUUAUCAACUUCCAUGUAAUAUUUUAGUUGAUAUUUAGAAAAGAAGGUAUUCUCUGAGUACUGAGUUGUACAAAUGUCAACAGCCAUGAUGAUAAUAAAUUGAAUCUCUCGAUUGGAUGCUAGCGGGGUCCUCAAUGCGGUGUUAGUUACUUAGGAUGCUGUUUCAUUGAAAUAUGACCUGUGGAGAUCACAGUUGUUUGUACUGAUAGUCUGCAACUUCUUUAUUACUUUUUCUUACUCUUUGCAUUUAUUGCACUUGUUUAAAAUAGUGCAUGAAGUAUCCUUCUAUGGUUACAUGCGUUACUAAUGCAAGUAAAGCAAUAUGUGAUGGCAGCAACUAACUAAUAAGCAUUAUGCUAAGGAAGAUUAUGAACUUUGUGUCUGAUCCAGUAGAAGUGAAAUAUCUGUGAUGGGUGGGUGGACAGGUUCCUAGUGAGUUCAUGUGCUCAGAGAACUGUCAUCUUUUGAAGUGUAUCCCUUGUGAACAUUCUUCUGCUUAUUUUUUAAAUUUAACAUCCUUUCCAGAACAUGCGGCAGAUGAGGUAUAAGAGGUUGCGUUCUUUGUAAAAGUGAACUCUUAUAAUAGUCACUUUCUUCUUGAAACGUAUGGCUUGCUUGAUGAAGAUUUUACAUGCAAGGAUGUUAGACAUCGGUAAAAUUCAUUUUUCAUUUGAAGUUUCUGGCUUCUAGAAUCACUGCAUGGGUUAGUGUAUUACUGUUUAAGAAUUUGCAUUUUGAAAUUAAUAGUUCAUCAACAUGCGUUAUUUGUUGAAGAUAAUUAUGAUGAUGGCUUAUAUAAUUGGUCAACUUAUCAACUUAUGUUCACUGCAGAGAAGAAAGCCACAUAUACUUGGUCUGAAGUUUUUACCAUUGUUUUCUCCUCACCUGUUUCGGGGGCUGGAUGCUUUAAUAAUAGCAUGUUGCAUGGAUGGCAUAGUUGAAGUUUAUAAUCUUCUUCUGUGAAACAAUAUGACACUAGAAGAUUUCUUUACUCUUACUGAGAUGAAGAAUGGCCUUUCAACUCUUGCAAGAGUUGAAGAGCUGAUUUCAGUGAUGGAAAGGCAGAAAGAUUGUGUUACGAAUAAUGCAGGCGAUACUGCAAGACAAUGGUCAACUGUUACGGCACCUUAGCAGCCACAGAAAACAAGGACUGUCUUAAACAUUUUGUUGAGUUAAAUGGACUCUUCUUUCUCAAUCAUUGGCUUCAAGAAGCUUUGAAGUGUAGUAAUGAUGUCAGUAGCAGUACAAUGGAAGAAGUAAUAAAUUCAAUACUUGGAUCCCUUGAGAGGCUUCCACAUGACAAGGAAAAGUCAACUGCUUAUGGAAUUUGGGUCACUGUUGAACAAUUGCUAGGUCAAAAUAACCCUAGCAUAAGGGAAAGGGUGAAGAAUUUGCUCGAUAAAUGGAACAAUAGAAGGGUGGACGAUGUUAGUAACCAGGAUAUGGAGAAUGGCGGGACAUGCCAAGAUAACCAGCACAAGCCUUCAGCUGAUGCAAACACAGUUGAUGUUGUACACUCACUGCAGCCAGUUGACAUUUCUUCACACAAUGUAUUGCCUCAGGAGGGGAAUUGCACGGUAGGCUUUGCUGGGACUGAGUCUCACCACCCAAAUUCUACAAAAUGCUCUGACAGUCCCCAAUUGGAUACAAUCAAUGAUGUAACAAUUUCUGCGCCAAAUCAGACCAUGCCAACUGAGUCUCCAAAUUCAGCAAAUGCAAAUGCAAAUGAAGAAGAGAUUAAUUCACUGGGCUCCUCCCAUGUGUCAAAUUCUUUUCAGGAAAACUUUGCUAUUACAGAAGAGUCUUCUGUCACAGUAGUGGAAAUGGCCUCUGCUCGCUUAUGCAGAUCUACUGGUGGGGGCGGAAAUGAUGCUGAUAAAGAUUCUGAAGCUUCAGAAUUAAAUGAUGUUGAUGGUGCAAAAGAGAUGGAGUUGGAGGUAGAGGUGAAUAUAACGGAAGGUGGCCUAUGCAAAGCUAGUCAAAAAGAAAGUUGUAAUGCUUCGUCAUCUUCUGGUGUAUCUGUGUCUGUACCUGCACAGAUGAAAUCCACUGUAUCAUGUGAUUUUGAUUCGCGGGAGAGCAAAAGUUGUAUGUCAAAGAAUUCAGAGCCUCAGCCAAUGAUUAAGGGUGCUGAUUGCGGGUUGCCAAAGUAUCUAAGUACCACAAAGGAGCUCAAUUGUGUUGCUCGUGUUGCCAAGGGUUCUCAAGAUUUGCCCAGCAGUGCAUGCAACCAAAGUAAAAUAGAUGGUCCUGAGAAUUCUAUCCAAAGAAAAGAAGAUGUGGGAAGUGAUAGCAGCAUUAAAGGGCAUUGCAGUGAGGGAAAGCUGAAGGUGAGCGAGGGAGUUAACCUUGGGAUCCUGAGUAGUUCUUCAAAAACAGUGAGCAUGAAGGUUACGGAUAAGAUGGACAGGUCGGAAAUGGAACUUGACUGCAGGGAGAUUGAUGCAUUGGAAGUCGCACGGCAAGUUGCUCUUGAAGUGGAACGUGAAGUUGUUGACUACAGAGAGCCAUUCUGUAGCUCUUCUCCUGAUAUUGAUUCAGGGGGGAGAGUGGAAACCUGUAGCCCUGAUUUGGCAGAAGGCAAACUGGAUCAGCCAGUGAUGGAAGAACUAAAUGGGAACAAGUCACCGACUGGGAAAGAUCUUUCUGAUAUUGCCUCUUCUCCCAAGGAUGAUAAUCCAAGAAUUCCAGUGCAAAGUGGCAUUGAUACUGAGAGACAUGAGCAAGUUUUCAAACCUGAGCUGACUUCAGUUGCUCGAGAAAAAGAACGUAAGCUUGACAAGAAUGUAUGGGACUUUGAUCUGAAUGAAGAUGUCUGCAAUGAGGAUGAUCACUCAACUAACUCCAUGCAUAACAAUCAAGUCAACCUGUCUGCGCCCAAAGCUAUUGUUGCUGCUUCAAAAGGAGCUCCAGAAUUUUCAAUUAGCCCACUUCGCUUUGAAGGUGAACUGGGUUGGAAGGGUUCUGCUGCCAGGAGUGCUUUUCGCCCAGCAUCUCCUCGAAAAACUCCAGAUGCUGAGAAGACAAAUUUGGGUCCACAAAACAAAACGAACUUCCUUGAAAUAGACUUGAAUGUGGCCGAGAGUGAGGAUAAUGUGGCUGAUGAACAAACAUCUGUAAGACAGAUACCUUGUUCCCUUGGCUUUCCUUCUGGGGAAUCUUCUAUGGAGGUUAGUUCAAGAAGAGCAGAGAGGCUGAAGCUGGAUCUUAAUCGCCUUGGAGAUGAGGAUACGUCACCGCAUCCAUCAUCAUUUUGGAAACUUCAUCACCAGAACGGAGAUCAGUGCCUGUCCACUGCUUCAUCAUCCUCAAGGCAUCCUUCGAUGAGAGAUUUUGACUUAAAUGAUCACCCAUCUUUAUUUGACAUUGGCGGUUCUCAUAACCUGAAUAAGUCAUCUUCCAAGGCCUCAGGCAUGUCUGGAAGCUCCGAACUUGAUGAUCCUGUUGUUGCAAUUAUGGGAUCGAGGGUGGCUGUGGAAAAGAAGGAUUAUGGGAACCAAACUCGGCAGUCAUAUUUGGGGAAUGGACCAAGUUUAGAGCCUGCUGUCUCUGCCCGACAGGUGCAGCCUUAUGCUCACAUGUGGCCGCCUGCUUAUGUAUAUAAUGGGCAUGCCACCGGUCUUGCCAUGCCUUACCCUCCAGCACAAUAUGGACCUGGGAGCAUCCCGUACAUGGUAGAUUCAAGAGGGGCCCCUGUUGUGCCACAGAUACUAGGCUCGGCAGGACUGAGUGGUGCACGCACUGCCGUGCCCCCUUUUCUUAUGAGUGUGGCUGGUGCACCUGUGAGUGUGAACAGGAUUGGUUCUUUGCCAUCAGGUUUGGAUUUGAAUUCCGGCAUGACAUUUAUGGACAGCGGAAACAGGGAGCCAGGGGGUUUUAGGCAGGUUAUGCAUGGACACAAUGGUUUAAUGGAAGAGCAGACUUGGACUGCCUCACAGCUUGCAAGUUCCCAGACGACACUGAAGCGCAAGGAUCCAGACUCUGGAUGGGAUCCUCGAAGUUUGUGCUACAAACAAGUGACAUCUUGGCCGUAACAUUCUCUCAGGCUAACGGUUUUGUUUUGUGUUUUCUUUAUAAUUUUAUCUUUCAAGGUUUCUUCGUCGUGGGAGGGGUGCCUUGCGUGAUCGGAGAGUUGUUCACAAGAUUGGUUCGGUGAAAGAUGAAUCGACCGAUUGACAUGUGGGAGUGGCUUCAGAAAAGGUAAAUUGAAUAAUGUUGGUUAUACUUAGCUCAGGAAAUUUAAUUUCUGGAAAAAAUGUUAGGUAUUUUUGUUUCAUAUUGGUUUUCUCUCUUCUUUUUUUUAAAUUUUUAUUGCUUUGUGAAGGCAGUCUCAUCUAGUGGAAUCUGGGAUCAUGCAUCUGUACAUUCCUCAUAAUUAUUUUAACAUAUUGAAAGAAUUUGGGUUCUACCUGAAAGGCUUUAGUUCUGGUUAUCUGUGCCAGUAUAGUGAAAUAUUUGCUGUAUUUAUUUUAAUUAUAAAAAGCCAUGCGAGAGUCUCCCCGUCUCAUUGGGUAUUGGUGCAAUUUCCUAAAAUUUUGUUCAUUUCCGUCAACUGCUGAGGUCAAACUUCAUUUUUAAGGUAGUUGAUUUGUUGUUGUGCGAUUGUCGGUAGUGGAGAAAGUAUUCUUCACGGCUGGAUGAUGUUCGAACUGAACAUUAUAACAAUUCGAUUAUGUGUUGGGUAAUCGCCUUUCCUGGAUUUCAUUAAUAAAAGAAUAAUAUAUGGGUAACUCUAUGCUGAGUUGGAAAGUGCUAAAGUGAUGCAGCAAUUUUUUUAAGAGAAAAGUUACAUAAUCUGUUGUUAACCUUCUUAUUUCUCCGUUGACCGUCAGUUAGUACAUGAUGCCGGUUGUCUACGUUAUUUUGUGUUAAUGAGCUGCCAUGAGAGAGUUAGACAAUUGUGCAACUCUUUCGUGUGAUAUUUUGUUGCCGCAUGCUGCAAUCUUAAAAACUGCCGGUUGCUCUCAACCAAGAGGGGUUCAACUAGUCUCAAUGGAGCUAGGGUAAAAGUAGAUAGGAUAAUAUCCAUAUUCAUAUCUAUUAAAGAAAAUUGAUAUGGAUUUGGAUAGAUAGCGAUUUGAACUAUAUCCAAAUAUCUAAUUUUAUUUGAAAUCUUAUUUAAUUUUAUAUAGUAUUUAUAAAUUUUUAACCAAAAUAUAUAAUUAUACGAAUAUGUUAUUAAUUUGAUUUAUGAUGCAUUUAGUAAUAAUUUUAAUUUUAUAGUUGUACAUUAAUUAUUUAAUUUAUAUUCAUAUUUAUGUCAAUAAUUUCAGUAUUUCAUUUCUAUCCGUAUCCGUUUAAAUUAAAUAUAUUAAUAUAAAUUUUUUGCAUUGUAUCCAUAUUCGUGCUUGCAUUUGUUAAAUAAAAUAAAUAUGGAUAUGGACAUACUGAUAUUUGAUCCGUAUUCGAUAUGAUUUUAGCUCUAGGUGGAGCUAAAAAAAACCUUAGUCUGCGUCUGUCUCCUUGCUUAUAAUGGCCUGGUGACCUUUCCAUAUAAAUUGCUUGCCGGAUGGAAUGAUCACAGAUUAGGCCACUCUUCAUUGAUGGUCUGAAACAUGCCUCGAUGCCAAGGCCGAAGUAGAUGGCCGGAAAGUCCCAAGCUUGAGCCUGAUGUCAGCAGGCCCAACCGAACUGAAGCAUUAAAGCCUUUAGGCUUAGAUAUGGCCCGACCCAAGAAAUCCUUGGUGCUUAUUCCCCUUUCCUUGAUUGCCAAAAACUGGAGGAUGACCCCGACCUCCCUAACCGUCGAUCAUUCUUGCGUGCGUGUGUGCGUGUAAAAGCGGUGAAAAGAGUAAAAGCGGCAAAGGCACGGAGGGUGAGAGUGAUGACCGUAGUCACGAGGGACGAGGUGACGGGAUUUAAGGGGCUCGAGCGAGGACUCUUGCUUCAGCUAUGCCUGUCCGCUUCCUCAAUUCACAUCAUCUAGUGUCGCUGCUUAAUGACGUGUUUGCAAAAUUUAGAUAUAUGCCAAUUUUUUUCCUUAGCUGUUUUUUGUUCUCAAUUAUGAAUUGAUGUGCUGUGCUAAUUAGUCAGUCAAACUUUGAGUUGUCCUAGAUCUUGGAGCAAUGAUGCUAGGAUGUUGUGAAUUGAGGAAGCGGACACAGACAGCUGAAGCAACCAUGAUUCAUUUUAAUCAUACGAGAAUUAUAGACGCGAGGUUCUUGUUUACUCAUUUCCAAUUAUCCACCUUGUAGAGUAGCAUGGUACUCUGUUGUAGACCAAACGUGCCGGUCUAGGAUCCGAAACAAAUACCAAUUAAAUCAAGCAAAGAAUGGUGAAAGAAAAUUUUGGAAAGAGAAAUAAAUUACUCAAAAAAAAGGAGGACUAAAAUAAUGGUUUUGCUCUAUUCCACAAAGAUGUUUCUUCAAAACUUUUCUAGCUCUAUUAAUGUAACUCUCUCCUCUCUUAAUAAAACUACACUCUAUCUCCUACUUAAACAUAAAAAUAUCAAUAUCUUCUACUAAAGAAUGAAAACAUCACUAAUUCACUUCAAGUUUAAAAAAACAAAAUUAGAUAUAUUGAGCUUAAGCUUCAACUUAAUUUAACGUAGAUUUGAAUCCUAACAAGACUAAGAUUUGGUAAUGAAUCUCAACCCUCUCUCAUUGGAAAGUCCAUGCCCAUAAUAUUGGACUUGUUGAAAUUGUGAAACAUCAUAUCAAACAUUGCCAAUAUUGUCAUAGUAACAACAAUAUAUAAUAACUUAUUGAACCAACAAUUAAAUAGUAAAACUUCUUUGUUGGCCUAAACUACAAUAUCUUCACUUGCUCAUCCUUUUCGAUGCCUAUUUUGGAGUGGAUGAUAUCCUCUAAUAUUUAUUUUCAACGCCGACUCCAUUAUUAAUAUGCGAAGGUUUCAUAAAAUAUUUAGCUUAUAUUAACAAAUACCAAGUUGCUGGCUACAAUCAUUAAAGCUCCAUAAAAUAUUCCGAACAAAUAAAAUAAAAAUAGUAAAAAAAAUUGGAGAAAAUAAUGAAUUACAAAAAAAUUAAAAUAAUAAUUUUACUCCCUUUGCCCACGAUAAAUGAAAACCUCGAUCCAUCUGGCUGAAAUAUUGACAGUGAAUACAUAUUUGUGAGAGCAGGAGACCAAGUCAAAAAAGAGUUAAUGCGCUUCCUGGUAGCAACAGGUUGAUGCGGACGCCCGAUCCCCUCGUCAAACGAUCCACCGACGAGGUCUCGGCGUGACCUCCGCCGCUAAGCGACGCCGGGUAGGUGGCUGUCGCCGGUCCCCCCUCGCAAAGAAUAAUAAAUGUUUCCAGGGCUGCGACGCGGAUGGAGGGUCUCAGUCCAUAAGGCUUCCUUGGAACCGUCCCCGUAUUUCGGCGCAAACGACACCGAAGGCUAUCCAUGCUGACGAAGUGACGCUGGACUUGGACUCGGAGUCGGGACCCAAAUCCUAUUGGCCAUAUCAUUAAGCCUCUCACAUGGAAUUUAAGUGCUAAAGAAAAAGGCAGAUGCCGGCAAAUCUUUUGGGUCGUUAGUGGUCAUUGAGGUCAUUUUUUGGGCCCACAAUCCAAAUCUAGGUGCGAUACUGCCCACUGAACUUAAGGGACUUUUAGCUAUGGAUUCUUGGGUUUGUCGGGUGGACAUCCUUCUCCUUGGCACGUGUUGGAAGUGAGGUCCUAUAUUGGAAUGGGGAUGGUAGCACUUUAAUCAUGUUUUAAAAAUAAAAAAUAAAUCAUAAAAGAGAACUUUUAGAUAAUGAGAUCUAGCUUUUCUCUUACUAUAUGUAAUUAAAAUUCCAAAUGAUCGUUAAUUAUUCGAUGCUCUCCGCUCCGCGCAAAAGACUCGAAAGAUAAAAAGAACAAAAAAAAGAGUAGUUAUUAAGAAAGACAUGAAAAGAGGGAGUGUCUGUUGAUUUUAUUUCCUAUGGUAUGUUUUCCCCCUCUGUCUUCAAGGUCUCCCACAUGCUUCUUAUCUGCCAUUUAUGGGUGCAAGUUUAUGCAGAGGUUAAUAAGAUUGCUGACCUAGUGGUAGCUUUUGUAACAUCUCAUGCAAGAAUUAUGCUUGGAAGUUGGAAGGCAAUGAGCCUGAGGGUCAUCAUUACCUUGAUGUUAUUGCACUUCUCACUGGGGUAUGGUUAGGUAUGCCACAAACUAAAAAUUUAGUUUUCACUUUUGACCUGUGGGCAGGAGACAGCAAAUUCUGAGACUUGUGAUCGCCAUUAUAGGUUCAACAAUGCAUGGGCAAAUUAUCACGAGUGCAGUUUUUUACAUGUCAUUCGGUGGUAGCCUAAAGAAAAUGAGAACAAAGAAAGCUGUGCCAAGUAUUUAUAUCAGAUUGCGUUUAAUUUUUAAAAUCAUUUUAUGUCCAGAUAGAAUGACCGAAUAAUUCUGUUUUGGUUGAUAUUUCCAAUUAAGAUAUGCUGCACUGCAAAGAAAGACCGAGAGCGAAAAUUAGCCCUGACCUCCCUCAAGCAUUUUGUGCAAGUGGCUUCAUUGGACUUCCCCUGUUUUCUUAUGGCCAUAUAACUGAGAGUGGUCCAAGUUAUAUUUUGGCGUUAGAAUACAUCUAGGAUUGAAAUGAUGAUCUUAUGGUCAAAUUUGAGUUCUCUCACGAAAAAAACAGAAAAAAAAACAGGUGGGUUUCCAAUAUUGAUGAUUGAUAUUAGCAUUAGAAAAAGAGGAGGCAGAGGGUAGCAAGUGAUUGAUUAUCUUAUCACCUAAAAGAAAAGAUGACACAUGAUACAAUGUAAAUACUAAGUGUACAAAUGACCGAUAUUAAUUAAAUCGUUAAAAGGCACAUUGGAUAUUGGUGGUGGGGUCAUAGUUUCUUCCACUCAAGAAUAUUUUGUGUAACUUCAAUGUUUUAUGAUAUUAUCACACGAUAUUCCCUUGUAAAAGUAGACAAUCUUACAAUCUGAUGUUAAAGAACAAGCAUUUGCAUUGUUUUUUGGUAGAAUGUUUCAUUUGGAGCGCAUACAACUAAAACCUUAAAGACAGGAAGUUCAGAAUCUUGCAGCAAGACUUAAAUCUGCUUCAUGUCCCUAUCUCUGCUCGCUCCCCUCUCCAAACCAACAAUGAAUCGAACCAAAGAACCGUGAUCGAACCCAAAAGCAGGGGGCUGUGCAAAACGGGAUAAUACUUCAUUCCUCCUAUUACAUGACAAAACCUGUCAAACCAAAUGACACACAAGAUAAAUAUUACACACCAGAAUUAAAACAUCAAAACUCAAUAGUGCCGAGUGCGAGAGCCCAUACUAUGUGAUACUAAACAUGCAACCAGCCCCUACCCACAUUUAGGCGUAGCCCUCGCCCCACCACGUGAGCAAAGGAGAAAAAGGACACGACCCCUAAUAAUUUACACUGUACCCCACUCUAUCUUCCUUGCAGGCCCCCUUUUUCUUUUUCCUACUCACCUUUCUCGCACCCUUUUCUGCUGUCCUCGAGAGAAGACCUGGAUCGGCCCGGGCCGGGCCGGACCUGAUACGGUUUAAUAUCCAACCCGGCCGGUCUCCUCACCAACCGACCGUAUUGCGUCCUCAUAAGGGCUGGAUCCGCGAGACCACGAUAGGACUCCGGACCUCGUGCGUCCCAUCCGACCAUGUCAGGUACCCGUGCCCCAGCCCUCCGUCCGCCCCGUUACCCUCCCCAGUCGCCGUCACCGUCACAGCGAAGCUCCGUUUCUUCGCCCCCGCCGUGAACGCUAGCUUCCCCGGCCUCACCGUCACCGCCACUCCCUUCCCGACCACAUCAACCUUCGCUUUGUACACCGCCUCCGCCUUCGCCCCCACGUUCGUCACCGUCCGCAGCACCGUCUUGCGCUGGGCGCGGCCGCCUGCCGCCGCCGUUCCGUCGAAGGCCACCGAGAUCGAGGGGUAGUUCAGGUUCUCCGCCGCCGGCCGCUUCGCCGGGCAGCUCGCCGGCGCGUGGGUGAUCACCUGGAUCGCCUUCGGACCGUACCCCAGGGCGCAGAGGAAGGCUACGUAGUCCUGGUCCCCGAGGUCGUACACCAGACCGGGGUCCAUGGCCCGGUCCAGGUUCAGGUGCCCGGCCCCGAAGUCCAGCGGCGUCGCGGCCCCACCGGUCGACUCGUCGGUGAUCGGCUGGGGCCGGUUGUCGAUGAGGUUCGCCGUGGUCAUCAUGGCCGAUCGGAUCGCCGCCGGGCUCCACCCCGGGUGAGCCGAUUUGAGGAGCGCCGCCGCGCCGCUCACGUGGGGACACGCCAUGGAGGUCCCGGAGAGGAUGUUGAACUCCGUCUUCCGGCCGUCAGAGUCCAGCCCCGUCGGCCCCACGGCGUCGGUCCAGGCGGCGAGGAUGUUGACCCCCGGGGCGAUGAGGUCCGGCUUCAGGAACUCCGGGCUGAGGCCGUUGGGUCCGCGGCCGGAGAAGGAGGCCACCACGGGGGCAGGCUUGACGCCGACCACCGUCCCCUCGAAGGCCAUGGUGGCCGUGGGAUUGGCGGCGGAGGAGACGUAGGCCUUGAUGGCGUCGCCCUCGUCCGAGCCGACGGAGCAGGCGGGCAGCACGUGGGCGUCGCCGACGAGGCCCUCGCCGUUGGAGUUACCGUUGGCGAGGAUCAUCGCGGCGCCGCCGGCCUCCUUGACGACCAUUCCCUUGGCCACGCGGGGGCUGCUGCCGCGGUCGCAGAUCACGAUCUUGCCCUUCACUAGCUUGGGAUCCAGAGAGUUUUCCAUGCAGAGGGAGGCAGAGAGGCCGCCGGACUGGCCCGGGUACACCAGGGGAAGCAUCGUGCCCGCGAGGGGCUUGCCGGAGUAGAGGGAGACCCCCGCGAGGCGGCGUCCAUCGCCGAGGACGACCUUGGCAGGGAAGCUCCGGUCGAUAGUGCCGGCACCGACGGUGGUGAGCCAGGGGGCGAGGUUGGUGACGGACAUGGGGCUGGGGCCGUCGUUGCCGGCGGAGGAGGAAACGAAAACCCCUUUAGAGACGGCGCCGUAGGAUCCGACGGCAAUCGGGUCGAGGUAGUAGGGGGCGGCGACGCCGUCCCCACUGCCGAUGGAGACGGAGAUGACGUCGACGCCGUCGGCGACGGCGCGGUCGAAGCCAGCGAGGAUGUCGGAGUCGAGGCAGCCGGCGCUCUUCCAGCAGACCUUGUAGACGGCGAUGCGGGCCUUGGGGGCGACGCCCUUGGCGAUGCCGGCGGCGUAGUUGGCCAUGCUGGCGUGGAAGACGUGGCGGCCAGCGGCAGUGGAGGCGGUGUGGGUGCCAUGGCCGUCGGCGUCGCGGGGGGAGCGGAACUCGACGGUGUCGUUGAUGCCGGCGCCGCCGAGGGCGGCGUUCGAGUCGUGGCCUUGGGAGAAGUAGCGGGCGCCGAUGAGCUUGUGGUUGCAGAGGGAGGCGGGGAAGCCAGGGCCAGUCUCGCAGGCGCCGCGCCAGCGGGAGGGGACGGGGCCGAGGUUGCGGUCGGAGAAGCUCCGGCGCUCGGGCCAGAUGCCGGUGUCGAGGACGCCAACGAUGACGUCAGAGCCGUAGUCGGAGUCUGACCAGAGGCCGACCUGGGUGCGGAGGCCGAGGAACUGAGGGGAGCGGGUGGUGUGGAGGCGGCGGAGGCGGUCCUCGAAGACGGCGAGGACAGCGGAGUGGCGGGCGAGCUCAGCGGCGCGGUCGGGUUGAAGUGAUGUGGAGAAGCCGUGGAAGACGGUGUCGUAGACGUGGAGGAGGGGGAGGGGCUCGCCGCCGCCGGCGAACGCCGGGGAGGCGUACCAGUGGGAGUGGGUGGGGAAGAUGGACGGCUUGGAGCGGUGGUCCACCCGGAAGAUGUAAAUCUUCUUCCGGGAAGCGGUGGUGACGGCUUUCCCUUCCUUCGCCACCGUUGCUAGGGUUAGGGUUAGAAGGAGGAGGAGGAGAAGGGCGAGAUGUGAUGAAGAAGCCAUGUGAGUGAGAGUGGGAAGUAGCGUCAAGCGUGCAGUGUGCGAUAUUGUCUGUUGAUAAUAUAGACUUUAAGCAGUGGUACCCCAGCAGCAGUGGAAUUAACACACGAAAACUAGAGCUUGGGUGGUGGGUGAGUGAGACUGCCACCAGAUGGUGGGGUNNNNNNNNNNNNNNNNNNNNNNNNNNNNNNNNNNNNNNNNNNNNNNNNNNNNNNNNNNNNNNUUGUUUUGUUUUUGUUUUUUUGUUUUGUUUUUUUUUUGGUCUAAACUGGGUGAUUCAUACAUAGCAGAUAUGAAUACACCCUAUAGAAUUAGAAAACAAAAAGUUCCGAAGUGUUCCGGGCAUCUUUCUCUCCUCGGCCUAUAAGGUACCUCCCGAGUGGCACGCUACAUACGCUGCCGCCCAGUUGGCCGCCCCAUUGACCUCACGAUACACAUGUAUAGCCUGCAAUGUAACACCCUCCCUCGCCAUCAUCCAAAUGUCACGAAGUAGGGGAUGGGCACCACCAUGACUGCUCGGGCCCCUACGGAUCUAGCUGAUCACCGUAGCCAAGUCACCUUCUAUAAGAAUCGAGCUCGCGCGGAGCAUCCGCCGUGCGUAGGACAGACCCAUCUAGACCGCUCGCAGCUCUGCUCUUGGAAUCGAAGUAUGAAAAAGCUGAUAGCCUCUUGCUGCGCAUCAAAAUCCGGGCCUCUAACAACAAAUCUGGCCCCUGCUGCUUUGCUUGUUUUAGGGCACAGAUGUAGGUAAGUUUUUUUUUUCUUUUUUUUUCUUAUCUGUUGUCAGGGAUGAGUCAGCCAUGAUUCUUCGCAGGCCUGAGGGAGGGUGGACAGGGAACAGGUGGGAACCGGGGAAUCCAGCUUCACUUCUUCCUAGUUCUAAUUAAAAAAAGGUAUUAAUUUUGUAUAAAGAAAAAAGAAAAAGGAGGAUACCGAGUGCCUUGAGUCUACAUAAAAAAUACAUAAAUAAGAUUAUGACAGUUAUUUUUGGGUCUAAAGGUUUUCCAACGAACCACGAUCACUCCCGUCGCAUUCGCAUGGAAGGGGACAGAUUUGUACCUCUCGCGCGAAAGAAGGAUUCACCAUGGCAGAAAUGAAGUAGCCCCAAAUGGUUUGAGAUGCGUGCAAAAAAUUAAUCAUUUUUUCCUGCAAAAGAUGCAACCCAAAUCCAUGUGGAAGAUAGAAAUGAUUGUGAUCUUAUAUUCCUCUUCCCUAUUAGAAGUUAUAUCAUUCAUAAUUUGAUAUACAUUUGUUUUUAGAGAUGUUUUCUCCUGUCUCCUUCUUAGACUAGGAACUGAAUUAUGUGAUGGUAUGUUCACUUACCAGGGGAAUAGCUAUAAAGAGGCGAGGAGGUGGGGAUGAGCAAAUGCACGGGAAACCAUAUUUUAGUGGUGAAAUAGGUGUUUCUAGCUCAUGUUUGGAGCGUGCACAAUGUUUAAAUUGUUUCUAGCGCUUUGUUAUGAACAAGCAUCUAAGAGACAACGACAUCAUAUCAUCUUCUUUAAAUUCUUCUCCAAUCGAAUUACCUCUUUGAAAUAGCUAGUUGUUAUUCAAAAUCUUUCGAUCCAAGUCAGUCUUUGGGUUUCUGAUAAUAUAUGAUGAUUUCAUCCAUUGUCUUUAACAACAAGCUUCUUCUCACCUCUUUAAUCUUUCCAUCCCAAGCGCACCUUUGGCUCUUCUUUUCUCGCAAACUGGCGCUACCACUAGAGCCCUAGGCGCCAAAAGUAAGCAUUCAUGUCUGCCAUGCUCGAAAUCUUUUUUCUCCAUCAACCUUCGCUUUCAAAGUUUCACCAUCCAGACUUAUCUAUUGACGUCAUGCAAGGCCUUCCCGUUCAAGUUGGCAUAGAUUUAGGUAGUUGUGUCAGGCUUUUAAGUAUUAUUAUAUCUUUGCUCGUCAAUUGUACGUCCAUAGUUUCGUGAGCACUGAAUUUGGUAUGCUCUUUUGCUAACUAAUUCCACUAAUUGUAUGUUCAUUUAUGUUUCAAAGGCAAAGAAAAGCAAUCACCAUUGCUUGCCCCAGGCCUAUGAGAGCUAGACGGAGAGUAUGUUGAGCACCCAGGACAUAUCCUUUGAUGGAAAAAAAAAACUUUCUUGCAAAAAAAAUACAAUAUUAAAGUUACGAGUAAUAAAUUUGAUUAUCUAUUUUAUUCGCAAUUUCUAUCAUCGAUUUAAGUUUUUUCUUGAUAUAUGAAUUAAGGUUUAUCCUAACGAUCGCACCUCUCUUUGGCAACCAGAGUAUUUGGGUAUAAUUUUUAGAUUUGUUUGUUUAAAAAUCUGAAUGUAAAUAAUUAAAAUAUAAUCUAGUCUCUCUCUCCUUCUCGCUUUACCAAAAAAAAAAAAAAAAUAAUCCCCUGGGCAGCAUAUUUCACGUAGCAUGAUCAAAGGCUGCUGGCCCACCACCUUUCCAAACCCCCUCCCCAAAACAGAACAGUCGUUAUUCACGCCUCCUCCCUGUUCUUUUCUCUUUCGUUUCUCCCAUCAAAAUCAUAUUCUUGGAAAAGGUGGUGUGAGUUUGCAUCCAUUAGCACCAGGAGGUGCAUGAGAGGUGCCGAAGUAUAACCGUGGACCAUUCGUUCCAUUAAGCGGUGUCGCCCUCCCCCGUUGCCAUCAACGAGCUUCGGUUGUGGCUAUCGACGCAGAAAGAACAGCAUUUUACAAUAAAAAUGAGAGCAGUCUCGAUGGAAGAGGCUGGUCUCCAACCGUUCGUACGUCUCUGUCUUUGAAAUUUAUCAGGAAUUCCAUUUCUUCUCUCUCCUUUCCUACAUCAAAGCAAUAGAAAAAUAAUUAUUUUUCUUUACUAAUAUUAACUUCUGCUGCUCCAAAUAGUGGAGAUCUAAAAUAUACAGCAAAUGCAAUAAAUAUCAACCCCAGCAUCUCAUGAUUUCUAAAACUUUACUCGAACUUAAUGCGUUGUUACCACAAUAGUAUUGGAUGUGCCAAGCUGACUUGCCCGAGCAUUUAAUUUUUAUGCUGAAGUUCUACACAAUUUUCUUAGAACGUAAGUUUUUAGAGCUAUCGCUGAAUAGCAGACACUGCAAGAUUCAAAUUUUCUUAAAAUAUCAAAAGUUCUUAAAACAUCCGGUUUCUUUCCCGUUCCCUGUAAUAUGUGCAACGGAACUGUUUAGCUAGAAACGGACAUGCGUUCAAUUCUUGUUUAUGUUGGAUGUAGCUCUAUUGAUAUGCGGUAACACCAUCAACACAAACAGGUAAAAGAUGAAUGGCAUCAUGCACCCAAGGAGCCACACUGGGGGGUGUCUGGGGGUUGUGAGACAUGUAACGGUGAAGCUUCCUUGUAGUUUGACAACCCAAACAUACACGAUGGACAUCCUGAACCUGGCCUCUUUUUUUUUUUUGGUUUUCAAACUCAGAGGAGGAGCAGACACCAGAAAGAGACCAAGCCAGCUCUCUCUGCUGCACUAGGGACUCGACCACAGGCUGCCGGCGACAGCUUCAAUUGACUACCAAUCCUGCAUUUGGCACCUUCAAGCUGCAUGGCUAAUGUAUCUUAUGCAGACAUUUCUGCUCCUAAAAUUUUCGAUAUUUUCCUUUAUAAAGUCCAGCAUUAGCUGAAUUAUGUCAAGGUUUCAUGAUUGUUCAACUAAGGUUUCAUCUUAAGACUUUUGACUUGCUAACAGUUAUAUACAUUUAGAGGCGAAAAAGAACAACUAAUUUGAUGCUAAAAUUCUCGAACAGCAGAAAGAUGACAAACAAGUCUCACAAAUCACAUCCAAGAACACUGUUAUCUGAUGAGAUUCAGCCAUAGUAAAGUAAGGACCUCUUAAGUUAAAGUAGAUAUCUGAAAUUAUGAAAAUGCAGAAGAGCACAGAUGAUAUCUAAGAACAUAAAUUAAUAUGGAUAGGGGCAGGUAAAAGUGACAACAGGCAAAAGUUUCACUUAUUCAUCUUAAACUCCUGAUGUGAAAACUUAAAUGUGCACAGACGAUCCAUUUCAGAUGCCGAAAAAGCAAUACCCUCUUUUCGAAGCCCAGAUUCCUGUGACAACAGGCUAUAAGCAUAAAUGUUUUCAUUAGAAACAUUUUGUCUUUGUUUUAUCUGUUAACUAGAAGGAGAGUUCAUGAAUAGGAAACCUGCUAUAUUGGCCAUAGUUUAAGCUCAUGCUACUAAAGCUAUCAUACUGGUCAUGGUUUAAGCUCAUGCAACUAAACCUACCCUCAAAAUUCCCACAGAUUUGGAAAGAGAUAUUAGAUGAAAGGCCCUGAUACAGAAUAGCGUAGACCACAAAUUAUAAUGUCAAAGAACUUGUAGGAGUCAACAAUAAAAAAAAUAUUAAAGAAAUGAAUCCCUCAUCAGCAAGAAACACAGGUGAAUAACAGGGGCUCAAUGGAUCCCAAACAACUUGAAGACAAAUAAGGACAUUUUCAAGUAGGUACAUAUGGCGACAUUGGCUUUAUGAAGUCAAAAUAAAGAGAAUAGAUUUAUCAUCAUCAAUGGCUAGAUUUCUAGAGACCAAUAUUUAUAGUGACAUGAAAUGCAACUAUCCUUCCUAAUAUAUGGUUUCACCAUUCCAUAUGCAAAUAUGACACGGAUGCAAAUCUUGAUUUCGGUAAACCAUGUGUUUAUGAGAAUAUAUGCAUAUAAUACGAAGCCCGUGGCAGGCAUGCUUCAAAUCCAAAAAUGGACUGAAACCUCAAAUAGAUGAAUAAUGGCUGAAUCACAACAUGAUAUAUACAUAGAUAUAAUAAACUCUGGAGUAUGAUGUUAUAUGAUUUGUCAAACUUUUAAAAUAUAAAACUAAUAUUCUUACAAAUAUGAGCAUCAGCCAACAUAUGAACCAUGGCUAUAAAGCAAUUGUCACAUCUUGUUGAAUUAGUAAGUUCCAGAACUUUACUACUUUCUCCAUUUACACCUGUGAAGAGUUCAGAACUCUUUAAGAAUUUAAAGUUAAAAUUUAUCAUGAAAUAAGCUGCAAAAAAAGUAAAGCAUCAAGAAGUACGCUUAAUGAUGAAUUUAAAGGAAAAAGGGCAGAUAGAAGCUACAAUUUAUACUUGUUAGGCAUGGCCUCAAUUAGUCAAAAGCAACCAAAAACAAGGUUGUCAAAAGUGAAGGGGCCCUGAGGCUACUAGACAGUCCGGACCCCUAUAUUGCUUGAGGUGCUAGGCACCAAAAAGGCACUCACCUUAAAAAAGCAAGGCAGUAAUUCAAGGAAAGUUCAAUAAAUGUAUUAGAAAUAAAUACUAAAUGUAUCUAAAAACAAUAUAAGCAUUAUAAGAUUAAAGUUUCAACGUUAGAUAUAGUGCUUCACACUUCUCAAAACAUCAUAUCGAAAUAAAAGUCAGCAAAAAUAAAUCGUUGGACAUCCUGUAGUAGCUCAAAAUUCAAAUAUGAUAGCAAAAUACAACUUCCUAAAACUUGUUUGAUAUUUUUAAAUAAAAUAUAACUCAAAAAAGUAAAUCAUUAAACAUCCUAAAGUAGCCCUUUAUUUAUAAGAUAUAAGAUUAAAGUUUCAACAUCAAAAAUCAUAAUUUUCUUGUAUGUUAGAUAUAGAGCUUCACAUUUUUCAAAACAUCUUAUCGAAAUAAGGGUCAGCAAAAAUAAAUCAUUGGACAUCCAGUAGUAGCUUCAAAAUUCAAAUAUGAUAGCAAAAUACAACUUCCUAAAACAUGUUUGAUAUUUUUAAAUAAAAUAUAACUCAAAAAAGUAAAUCAUUAAACAUCCUAAAGUACACAAAGGCAAUCAUACCGAACACCAUCUCCAUGCAACCAUUAGCAUGUAUACAAAGGCAAUCACACACGGAAUCACAUCAUGCAGAUCUUAGCUAAUGCUAAAUUAGCAAGAAUUUUGCAUUUAGAAAAUUCCGUGGCCACUAAUAACAUUUUAAACAAAUUACGGAUCCUUAACUAUCAUUUAGCAUAAGAAAUGUGAUUUUUGCUAUUAAUAAUAAGGGGAGCCAAUAAGAAAACAUAGGCAACAAAGAAUUAGGGCUCGUUUGGUUCGCGGGAAGCAUUUUUCCUCCUAGGAAUAUGAUUCCUGGGAAACAAAUUCCUAGGAAGAGGAUGCCUAGGAAAGUACUUUUGGCAUGUUUGGUUGACCAUGGAAAAGUGACAAAUUUUCAAAGUGCUUAUAUUUGGUUGGUCAUCCACUUUUCUAGGAAAGUUAUGUAUAAUUUCUAUUAUACCUUUAAUAAAAAUUAGGUUUCUAAUGCCUCUUUAAUGCUUCUUUAAUGCUGAAGAGACUUUUUGGAAAAAAGUAAAAAUUGAGUGAUUCCCGCCUCAUGAAAAAGUAACUUUCCUAUGUUUCUUAUGGAAAAGACUUUCCCAUGAAAUGUGGGAAUCAUAUUCCCAUGAGAAUACAACUUUUCCUUCUCUCUCCUUUGAAAACUCCAACCAAACAAGAGGCAUCUCAUUACUUUUCCGUUGACCACACUUUCCCCUCUUCUUUUCCCAUGAACCAAACGAGCCCUUAGUUUAUUCCAUUGUGCUUUUGGGAUUGGCCAUUUCAGUGCAAAAUCAGGUUAAAAAGCUAGAUUUGGCUGAGAAUACAAAAAAAAUUUCGUACAAUACCUUACCGAUAUUGUGCUAGUGUGGCACCCGUACGGAGUCUGGUAUCGAGACGACGGACUUUGGUCUUAUUCAUGUAGUGUAGUGAGUAUUAAUAUAGACCCGUAUUGGUUAAUGGGCUCUAUAAUGGGUGGAUCCACUAGCAUUAUACUAAUUAAACUAGGUCUCCAGUCCACUUCUAUAUAUAUCUAUCUGUAGUGAAAUCGUAGAGCAUCCAUGUUUUUAUAUUCCUAAGGGGCAUCUAUCCCAUUGAGGAGACAUGCAUCAAAGAAGAGGAGAGGAAGAUCUACCCCGCUUUUAUGUUUUCUUCUCCCGCAUGAUACUGCUACAACGAUUAUCAAUGCCUUCUUUGGGAUCUCAAGGUACUCCUCAUUUUUUUUUUCUAGUUUAUUUUACAACUUUUUGUAUUCUAAUCUCCUACUUGGUAUCCAUGAAAAAUCACACAGAUAUACCAGUAAUCCAAUUAGGCCUAAUACAUUCACAAUCACAGCCUUAAGAAUCAAAUCUUUUACUGUUUAUCAGUUAAUAAAGCCCAAAUGGAUACUACAAGAAGCCUUUGGUUUUGCAAUGAUCCCUUUGAUCCUUCUCCCAAAUUCCAAUAUGUCAACGAGUCCUUGUUCAAGCUCAAGACCACCAACUCCCCUUGAAUGAUAAAUCGUACCACAACUAAAUAAUAGAUUCAACCUCAACAUCGUCUCAACCUUUCUUUAUCAUGAAAACUAACCCUUUAGUUCAUAACUUUGGCAAGAAUACUAUAUUCCCAUUUCAGAACCCAAACAAAGCCAAUGAUAUAAGAACCACCGGCUCUAAUGUCAAGAACCCUAAAAUCUAUCAUUGAAGAAAUCAAAAAAAGGACCAGUAUUUGAUCUUCGAAACAAAAAAGGCAACGAGCAAAAGGGACGGAUAGAGAAGGAAAGGCUAGCUUACUUGGUUGGUGGACUCGUCAACGGAAUGGACCUCAUCCUCCGGCUCCUCCUCCUUCUCUUCGUCGUCGUCGGGAAGCGAGACGGGGCGCUCUUGAAGGGGAAUUAGACAUCUUGGCGUCGACGGAGGUGGUUCUCCUCCGGGCGUGCUCCUCGGUCACGGACUCCGAGUAGGAGGGGAACUCCCACGGGGACUUCUUCGCCCCUUCCUCGUCCGAGCUCACGUCGUCGAAGUGGAAGUCCAUAACCAUUGGAGCGGGAGGGAAGAAACGCGAGCAUGAUCGCAGGUCGAACGCCAAAAAGAGAACGGAGACGUCGGAGAGGGUUUCUUUGGGGGCUUUAGGGGUUAAAAAUUGACCGUUGGAUUUGGAUGGACAGGGGCGGGGUCAAUGAAUUUGGACCCAUUUCAUCGGAAAAUGGCCCAAAUAUGGACCAAAUUUAUGGACGUUGCGUACUGGCCCAGGUCCAGCAAAAUGGCCUCAAUGCCCACAAGAAUUCAAGCAAAAAAAAAAAAAAAACAGAAAUCUCUAGGAUGAAAUUAUUCUUUUUUUUGAAAAAUAGUUUCAUCUUAGAUCCACAAUGAAUUAGAUCUAUUUUUCCAAAAAUAUAGGUACGAUAGGUCGCCUUCAAACUUAAUCCAUCGCAAGCCAUAAGCUUGGGCUUUGUCCCACUCAGCUGCUUGGAAAUUUAGAUAAAAAGGAUUGCAAUAAAUAUUUUAUAAAAUUUUAUUCAUUUUUUCUAGUCUCUCUAAAUAUGUAUGUAUGCCCCUUACGAGGAAGUAUCCCAUCGAUUUUUUUUUUUUACAUCACUCAUAAUGCUGUGGUCAGGCUUCCAUUAUUUUUUGGGGGGUUGUACCUAAUCAUUGGUGCUUGAUUGUUAUGACAUCAAAGGAGUAAGAAAUAUUGCAGAUGAAUGAGGACUGCAGACAACUAUCCUCCGCUACUAUUUUUGGUCAACAUGAAAUUGUGAGACUCCUUUUUAUCCUUUGCAUUACAUGUUAUUUUUAUCAUUUCUUUUAAUAAAUCAUGUUCAAAAUUUAAAUAAUAAUGUCAUGCUCUCUUCAACUUUGUUGUUUGUGGCAAGUGCUUUUGGCUUCUCUUUCUUCUGUGGUAGAUGGGAUUAGCAAGCCAUCGACAUAUGUUACACAUGCUUGAUUUGGUCACAUGAAUCAGACAUUCCACCAAAUUCUUCUGUUUUUCAAUCACUGACCUCCAUUCUACGUUGGGGGCGUCAGUAAAACACCAAAGAGCUCGCCUAAAUGCUGACCUCGGUCCUCGACAGGCCCAGUCUGGUCUCUGGGCUGGCCUGGGCCUAAGUUUACCAAGAUAUCCGAGCUCUGAUUUCCUCCUUUGACCUGACCCCUCACCAAAACAAGCCUCUGAUUACCUUAUUCUGAAGGGAGAGAACAACCAUGCUUGUCUUUAUUCUUACAUCACAAGGCUACCAACCACUAAAUUAAGUGCAAGGACACAAACUUUUUAAAAGAGCAAAUGGGCGGCCAAGCUUGCCAGCCCCCACGCCUUGGUGAGCAUCUAACGAGUGCUAUCAUAAAGUUUUUUGACACAUAAGUAGACACAUCUAAAUGUAGAUAAAUAAGCAACGAGAGAAGCAGAGUCAGCAAGCAGCAGCAGCAGUGAAGAGCAGUUUUAGCUUCUCAUUUGGCCCUUUCUCUGAUAACAUCAAACCCCAUCUCAGUAGGAUCCGUGGCCUGCACCUCAUAGUGGACUCCCUCCAGCACCCUUCUCAACCCCUGUUUAGAAGUGGCAUAUAGCAUCUUUGCUCUUAUCCUUGAUGCAGUUGGAGACCUAAAGAAGAAGAAGAAGAAGAAGAAGAACCCAAUCCAUCAUCAUUUUGGCUAUUAACAACAACAGUAUGUGAUGGGCCCAAUGGCUCAACCUACUUUGGAGAAAUAAGUUUGUCAGCAGUGUACAUUAAGAAAUGCAGUACCAAAGACAGCAACAAGCAUGAUUGCAACCGCAAACAUAUUGGGUAGGUCUGGCUCACAUCAUGAUCAAAGGCGUCGGCAGGGUGGAUGGAUAAGAUACCUUCUGUUGGAAAAAAAAUAAAAGAAAGAGGAAAAAAAGUGCCAUGGGGGUCUUGUCUUGCAUGGACUGUUUGUGAUAAGGAUUGACGCGUAGUGUGUUUGGCUGCUUUUUAUCAAGACCUUCUCUUUUAAUGCUUUAUUUAUUCACCUUUUUUUUUUUUGAGUAUUGCAUUUCUUCUUUAAUCCCUCUGAACCUUCGGUUAGAGGAGGUGGUGGAAAUGCUUCGGAACCAUACAAUUACUCAUUAUAUUAUCUUUGAGAGCACAUCACAUUAAAUAUGUUGUGAAUAUAUAUCCCACAACUUUAUGUAAUUUUAAUAAAAAACUUUAGAAAUCAUACACCGAAAGCGAGUGUCGUAAUCUAUGAAGGUAAUUGGCGUUCUUCUGAAAACAAUAUUUAUACAUGACAGGAAUUUUGAUGUCCUCUAUCUCAAAGUUUAGGCCAAUCAAGCAACAAGGAAUAUGCUAAGAGUAAGGUAGGGGAUGAUCUAACUUUACCUUUCGGAACCGUGACCACCUAACAUGGGCCACCACCUUCACCGUAAUAUGGACAUCAAAUUGAUAUGUUUGAACAUCUAGAUAGAUAUGGAUGCCGGGCAUAAAGUUUCUAUGCAAUAAAAAUUAUAGCAGGGAAGUUCGGCAUUCAUGGUUUUCCAUUUUUUUCUUCUGGGCAAAGCCUUCGUGAUGGCCUUUAGUACAGGCUAGCUACAGAUUGAAAUGAAAUUAGAAUACAAUACAUACAGGCAGAAAGAGGCCCUAUCAAUUGCCUUUAAUCUUCUUUCAAGUCGCGGUUAUAUUGCAUCUACCUGCAGGCUCAUUAAUUUAAGAACUAUGUCAAUCUUUUUUUUGAUGUAAAAGAACUAUGUCAAUCUUAACUUGUGUGUGUAUAUAUAUAUAUAAAGAAGAUGUCUUUGAUCACCAAAUCUAUAGGACAAACCUUGUGUUUCCUGGACAUUCAUUAUUUUCCUAUCUUAAAAAAUUAACCUCACAGAGAGAGGGGGAGAGAGAGAGAGAGAUAACCAUGUGAUGAAGAAGAUCUUGCUCUUCUGGCAUUUGUCGACUGUGACGAAGUCGAAGUCGAAGACAGCAUAGCGGCAGUCGUCGAUGGGGAGGGAAGCAGCGAGCUCUUCGUAACCCUCGCCAGGACCGCCCACCUUGUCCACCAUCACAGCUCUGGACCCCUCGUCGAUCUUGUACACGACGUAUCGGUGCACCUUCUUCCACUUCAUUUCCAUGAACGACCGCCGGCACUCCUCCUUUACGCUCAUCCCCUCCGUCGCCUGCCAUCCAAUUCCAAGGACACAUCAAAUUAAGCCAUGCAAAGCAGAGCAAACUUCGACGAUUAAAUUCAAUCGAAGAACCCAGAAAAGGAGGAAGAAGAAGAAGAAGAAGGUGGUGCUGGUGAUGUUGACAUCGAGAUUACCAUCUUGAAAGCCAUAGCCAUGGUUGCAGGGGGGUUGUGGAGUUGCUGGCGUGUCCUCUCUUUGCAGGCCUUUGGGAUGUGGAGGCUCGGAAAUAUUUAUAAUAGACCUGAAUUUCAGAGUUGUCCUGGUCCCUCAUCUAAAUUGCAUAGCCUUUUGUUUUUAUCCCCCCAGUAAAAUGGUAUAAUUACACAGCCCUAGAUACAGUCAAUCCAGUCUGCAGCAUUACCCACCUUUCUCUAAAUAUUUGUUAUCGCAUAUAUUAUAUAGAUUGUUUAAACUAAUGAAAGCUUUCUUUAGUUGUGUGGUAGGGAAAAAGGGUACUAGGACAAAUAUGUUUGAUCUCAAUUGGGCCCAUCACUGCUUUAGAUGGUGUGAGCUUCGCUUGUUAUCAAUAAUUUUCUUUUUGGGAGGUGUGGGUUGAUCAAUUAGUGAAAGUUGCUCAAUUUGGAGGCGGGUGGACAGGUUACAUGGACUUCCAAGAUAGGCCUGGUAAAUGGGUCCAUGUGGCAAAUUAUUUUAAUAUACAGAGAAUUCAGAAAAUCAUCAUAUAACAGUACCAUUAUUGGGUCUCAUUGGACACGUCCAAUCAAAUGUUAAAAUAUUUUUUUAAUAUAAUGUAUACUUUUAAGGCUGAAAUAAAGAGAGCCAAAAAAAAAUGGCCAGAGAGAGAGAGAUAGACUAGAAUGAGAUUUAUGGUGGAAUCCUUCAGAAAGCAAUAUCCUAAAGCACAGGAUAAAUAACAAUCCAGUAGUUCUUGUACUCGCAAAAUCUUGGAGAAGGGCUACUUCCCCUCCCUCACGUAAAUGUACAUUGGAAUUCAAACAUUUUAAGGUUCUAGUUUUACUUGACUGGGAUCGAAAUCCCAACUAGAUCUGGAAUCUGAGGCCAGUGCAUGUUUCGUUUCUUAAAUCCUUCUGAAGGUGGAUCGAGUAGAUCAACCAUCCAACGUGGAUUUUGGUCCCAGUCUUCGAUCCAACCGGUAGCCUCGAGUUCCGUUUCGUCCUUUGCUUCAAAGGAAAGACUGCCGAUGAGAUUACACCAAAAGAGAACGCACGAGGAACGUAACUUUUUGACAACUAGUGGCUGCUCCAAUAUACACGUAAAGCAGACAAGGGAUGCGAUGACUAAAAUAAGGGCGAGGCCGUGUGCGAAGAUGGUGGGUGGCAAGAGAGUUUGUACACUGGAUAACUGUUUGAAAGUUCAAGAAAGCUUUUCAGGACAAUAGACAUUCUUUUAUUGGAUCAUGCUGUGGUUCUUCAUCCAGUUUAGUAAUCAAGAUGCAAGUCCAUAUGUGUGUGCGUGGGGAAAAGGUAGCAACCACCGCAGGAAUAUUGUAAAACGAUGGUUCGUAGAAACAUUGUUAUCAUUAUUAAGCUGAGUAUGGAGCAUGUGGGAAAGGGGGAUGCUUUCCCUUUCAUGUCCAAGUACUUUCUCAAAUGCACAAAUUAUAUGAGAUUCGUCAAUAUAAAGUUUCUACAGACAUCCGUCCCAUUCUAAAGCCAUUUCUGAGCAUUUGUCAAUAUGGGCUUGGCUCAUUCCAUAAAUUUCAUAGAAUUUUCAACCUAAUUAUCCAAACAAGCACUAACUCACUAAGACAAUGUUUACAUGAUUCAAUCUUUUUUUGACUAGCUGGUUAAUUUUCUGGUAAAAAUUAUGUACCCAGAAAACUCUAAGUAAACAGGGUCAUGGGGGGUUUAUUUCAUAGUCUAUUUAGAUUUAUUUGCAACAGUUGCUUGACCUUUUAGGGCCAAGGAGAUGGUGGAUGAUGAUCAUAUCCGGCACAGUAGAACAAAGUGACUUCUAUGACUGGCUAUGAACAUUAUAUUUAUCCAAUAAUAUUUAUACUAUUUGUAAAUGCUUAUAAACCUUUUAUAAGUUUUGGAUUUGAUUUAACCAAAAAAAAAUGAAGCCUUAAAUAUUUUACUGAUCGAACCUUUUGAGGUGAUGUCUACUUUAUCGGAGAUAUGUGAUGCAUGUGAGAGGAUGGAAGGGUACAUGCGAUUGGAAGCACGAAAGAUUGCAAUCUCCCAUAUUUCUACAAAACUGCUUCACUAACUGUAACUUGACAAGGGGGCUCUCUCAGCUUUGGCCGACACAGCUUGGGAAAAUGGAGACGCAGAGUUUGACAUUAGCAUUUAUUCCAAAAACUUUUCCUCCCUAGAUGGCAGCUAUAUGUACGAGAGAUCGGACCAUUGAAUCCAAUUUAAAAAAAAAAAAACAAGAUUUCAAUCUUAUUAAAAUUAAUUCUUCUUCCAGGAAACUUAGAGAUCAAGUAACAAACAGAUGGUGCAAUUGCAGGGAGAACCAGUACGACCCAUCGAAGGGACGUCCGAAAACAAAGAGCAAGACGAGGCUUUCAAACAAGGUGAUCGGUAUCUGUCCAUCCUAUAAUGACUGCCAACUGAAGACACGGGCACGGUGGAUGUCAGAAUUAUGGUUAGGUGUUGAUCGAAAGGAAUCAGAGGAUCAGCUUUAGCUUCCUUCCACACAGACUACAAACACUAGAAGCCUAAACGCUGCUGCGGGCAGCAAAAGAGUGGAUGCAAGAGGACGAAGGGACCUAUACGGUCCCGGCUGGUCUUCGUUGUCAUGCAGCGGGCAAGGGAGGACAAACGAAUCUAUGAAUUGGAAAGAAGCCACCCGGCCCCACUUGUCUCCACUGCUACGACUGCUAUCUGUGGCCUCUUCAUCAAUUUUCUGGAUUUAGUCAUUUCCACCUUCAUAUUAACAGUUUCACCAUCUCCAUGAUCUUCCUCACAUUAGUUCCAAAGUUUGGACAUCAGUGGCUCUAUCUCGUGUGUGUCUGUGUAUCACAUAUGGUCCCCUUUCCAACCAAAUUCUAGAUAUAGCUACUGUAUUGUGACUGGAACAUGGGCCAUGAAUCAAAUCAAACAGGCUUCAGGUGUCAUGAGAUCACCACUUGGAAGGAAUCUGCAAAAUAAAUCGUGCUCAUAGGGAGGACAAAAUGUCCCUUCUUUUGGUAGUAGGAUGGGCAGGCCAAUCUAGAUGAGAAAUGAAAUAACAGAAAAAGUAUGAUCAAUGAAAAAAUAGCGAAAUGUGUUAUGUUUGGUAGAAGUUUUCAAAGAAAAAGAUGAAAAAAUAAUUUUUCCAUCGAUUAGAAACUGAUAUAUUUUUUUUCCAAAAAUAUGGAGUAAGAUCUUCCUUUUAUUAGAGGUAUAAUAGGUAUUUACAUAUUUUUUUCAAAAAAAUAGUUGUUCAACCAAAUAUAAAUCACUUUCAUUUUUUUUUCAUGGUUAACUAAAUAUACAAAUCUAUUUUUUGAGGUAUCAUAUACUUCUCAGAAAAAAUAUUUCAACGAAGAAUAAAUUUUUCCACAAACCAAACGAGCCAUUAAAAAUAAGCUGGGAAUAGCCUACUCCUAUUUUAGUUAAUUAAAAUUAUAGUGAUUAUUUAAAAGAUAAAAAUUUAAUAUUGGUAUGCACCUCAUAAAAAUUAGGAAUUUUCUAUGGUGCUUCUUAAAAUCUAUGUAGAAUAAUUUUUCUAAUAUUUUUUCUACCAUUCACUCCGCUUAAUAAUGGAUGAACCCUGAUGUUUCUCAUGGCAACCGGUUAAAGUUGGCGGGAGAGGUGCGGUUGGCAACAAUAAUAAAUUGGACGAAAAGGAGACCAUGAAACCUCUGCGACUCCAGGAAUCAAAUCCAACAAGAUCCCCUUCGCAACUCCAUUUAAUUAGUUGCAAUGGUCAGGAUUGAAAGUUCACAGCAAAUAAAACAUAUACAUGCACCAUAGUAACACCCUAACGCGCUUCGCUAUAUUGGUGGCUGAGAUGCGAAGAUCUGAAGCACACACAGGCUCUCAUCUAAAAACUCCCAAUUCUCGAUUUUGCAGAAGUUUUAUUUUCCAAAUUUUUAGAUCUAAAUUCCCUCUCCUCCUACUUCAGCACGAUAGCAAAGAAAUAUUGGAAGAAAAUUGGGGCUUGCAAGAAGGCGAAUGGCCCUAGAGCUUGCUCCAAACGGACGGUAAUUGGCUCACAGUGGGCCCACUUAAAAGCGACAAUUUCCUGCAGACUAGGACUCGACCAUGAGUCCAUCCUGCCGCGGGCAAGUGAAGAAGCUAAUGCCGACGGUGUCUCAUACCUAUAAGCCUCAACAUAUCUAUUGAAUUCCUAAUCGAUAAAUCCUGUCAUUAAGUCUCACAUGGCAUGAAGCUUUUCACGUCAUGAAUGAUUAUUCUCUGAUUCAUCUAAAGAGCUGCUAGUGCUACAAAUCAACAUCGUUUAAUCAACCUUAACAAAUACCAAUAACUCUUUAACAUAAUUAACAUAAAGAACAGUCUAUGAAAACAAAAUAUUUGCUCCAGUUGAUUAGCCACAGAGAAAAAUGUGUUUUUGUUGGGUCAUAUGAAAUAGCAUGCUUCCUCUAAUCCAUGACCGCAUCCAUUGACUUGUUGCUGCUGGCCAUAAAGAAGUCUGGGUGACCGACCUGCAGCAAAGGAAUGAAUAAACUUGCCAUAUGAGUGCUACAGUUUGAAUAGCUCCUGAAAAAGCUUAAACAUGGAGAAAGCAGGUAGAUGAAUAGUUUGUGAAAAAGCAAAAUGAGUAACAGAAAGAUGUCAGAUCACUAAUGAUUUAUAUAAGUACGAACAGGACUCAAAGAUAGCUGUCAAUACUGAUGGGUUAUCAAGCAGGUAACGUAUGGGAAGAAUUACCUACCCUGUGACUAUCUUUAAUCAUCUAAAUGAAAACUAAAUCAAAGGGAAAUAUUUGGAGCCAAAAGAUUCAACUAAACAAUAGAAUGGCCACCAAAGGAAAACAGAGGGUAGGCAAUGUUUCUAGCGAACAAAAGGAAAAUUGGUACGCUGUGUAUCUCCACAUUUCAGAAACUAGGUCAUAAGAGAAUUAAAUCAUGCCUUGAGAUCAGGCUUAGGCAUCAAAUGUUACCUUGGAGAACAAGCUGGCACGAACAGACUAUAGGAAAUCAUUUACUUAUCCUCCUCAUUUUCUUGCUUAUCUUCAUUUUGCUUUUGCUGGGACUGGAAAAAUGAGCACGAUCAGAAUAUACAAUAAAAUCAGCAUCAGAACUUCAGACUAAAAUGGUUUAAACAAAUAACAUAAUUGAACAUAAUUCAAUUAGUAAUAACCAGCUUUGGCAGGAGCGAAGUAACACAAAACGGCAUGCAAUGACAACUGCGCGAUUCAAGGUGUCUAAUGGUAAAUUCAUUGACAACAUUAAGUUCAGAACAUUUAUUAUGAAAAUAUAUGAUAUAACCAUUAUCCCAAAUUGUGCAGCAAUGAAACAAAAAGAAACAAUUAGAUAUGUAUUAAAUUUCUUAUUUUACUCUUUGAUCAGUUUCACUUGUGACAGUACAGUGUUAAAAAAACUUGAGGCUUGAUCCUUCGAAAGUGUAGUUUAUGGCACUUUGAAGCACAACAGAUUUGCAAGUUGCAUAAAGCAUAUUUUAUGACUUCAACAUACACAAAGUGAGCUUCCUGAAGGAAGUUUUGAACCCUUUAUAAUGACAAUUUUUUUCCUCUGGUUUUUCAGAUCCUCAGAGUGGAUAUAUUGGUAAUAUAUAUGAUUCAUGAUUGGAUUCCCUUUUCUCGACUUUGCAAUUAAAUUGUUGGAAUGAGCUUGAGGAAAUCAGAGCAUAUCUGAUUCUCCAUGCAACAUUUUUCCCAUUUAUAUGAGCCAUCUCUAGUGUAUGUAUGUAAAGCCAUCUCUAGUGUAUGUAUCAAGUAGAACGAGAAGCUAUAUGUAAAGUUUAAUUCAGAUGGUAUCAAAACCUUCAGAAGUGUCAUUUAUGGCACUUUGAAACACAAUAGGAUUGCAAGUAGAAUGGCACUUCGAUUAAGUUUUAAACCAUUUAUGUUACCCUUUUUCGUUCCAGUUUUUUCAGAUCCUCAAAGUCAAUAUAUUGGUAAUAUGAAAGCAUAUAAGAUGCUUGAUUGGAUUCCCCUUUUUUCAACUUUGCAAUUAAGAGUUGGAACGAGCUUAAAGAAAUCAGAGCAUAUCUAAUCCUCUACGCAACAUUGUUUCCAUUUAUAUAAACCCUGUUAAAGCCAUCUAUGAUAGACAUGUCAAGUUUUAAUAUCAAGUAGAAUGUGAAGCUAUAUGUAAAGUUCAAUUCAGAUGGCAUCAAAGACGUAUAGGAUGCAUCAUUUUCAACAUUGUGAUCCAGAUUUUACAGACUUAUAUGCAAUACAUACAUGUAUGGAUAAGCAAAGAGUUGAAAACUAAGAGCACCACACAGGAGCACUUGAUUAUAAGCAUACACUUUAAGCGAAGAAGCAUAACCCAUAAUAUAUGGCUAGCAUGAGGAAAAUAAUUUACUUAUGCAUCAUGAUGCAGCGUCAACAAUAAUUAUGCACUACAAUUAUACAGUAUUUCCACUUGCAUGGACCCAAAUCUGUGGUGAAACAACUAGCAGCAUCCAUAAGAUGGCUUCAUUGAGAAACUUAUGCGGUGUUGACAGAUAAAAUAAGAAAUGGCGUUCCCAAAUUUAAGCUAGUGAAAGUAUAUUAAUGGAUAUUUCAUUGAACAAACUCUAAUUAAAUUCAAUCCCAGUGACAUUAUUAAGAAAGUUAUAGUCAGGCAGUGGAUCCCAUGCCACUAUAUCCAAGUGUUUUCUUUUGAAACCAGCAAAAUUUAUCCACAAACUGAAAGCCAUCAUGAUGAAACACCAUGAACAAGACAAGGGAGUGGAGAACAUCAACACCCUAAGUUUUUUGCAAUUUCAAAUCUAUCUGUUGUAUAAAAUAAUGAACAACGAGGUGAAUAUAUAUACUUUUGCUGAUGGUAGAUCAAGUGGGGAUAUACUUUUGGGCUAUUCAUGGCUGUCAUGUUCUAGGAAUUGUCAAUAGUUGCCACAUUAUUAUGAGGUGGGAAAAUUACAGAACAGUAAGAAGGUCGGCUUAAGUGCUGCCGUAAGGAGCUCUCAGGCAUGUAAGGAGAUAGCAGUAGCAGUCAGCAUGUUGAGGUGAAUGUUUCGGAAAAGUAGAGUUUGACGGACUAUAUACAAAGGAAAUUGUAUAAAAAAUAGAAUUGAUAUUUAUUGAUGAUGGUAUGUCCAAUAAUAUUAAAGAAGCCUAGGUCAGGAAACUGAGUGAAGAGAUCAAAAAAGAAAGGGAGAAUCUAAUGGAGAACUUUUUUUUUGAUGGGAAUUUAAAAAGGUGCUUGUUCGCCCGAUGAUGCCUGUAGGCAGUAGCAGGCGCAUGGUGCAGCGGCCCGUUAUUGUUCCACCAUUGAAAGCGGGCAGUGAUCGUGGCUCUGUGAAGCCAGCCUCACAUGGUCCCGUCAUCUUAAGGAGUGGCACGAUCUACGCUUAAAUCUAAUGGAAACCUGAAUGGCAGUCAAGGUUGUUAACGAAAGAAAUAACAGCGAAUGAAACUUUGAUGCAAAUGAAUUGUGAAGGAUCCACAAUAUCCAAUCCAAAUAGAAACAACAUUGCUUGUUAGUACUGUCAUUGUUAAACGUUGUAAACCAGUUGCCACAUCAAGAAUAGCAUCUAUUAUAUGUUAAUGCUCAUUUACCAAAUCAAGAUACUAGGGUAAAUAACAUAAAACAAUGUGACUUUUUGACACUUGUAUUGCACCUGUAGUAUACUGGAAAUAGAAACAUGUUGAAACAAGCAAAACCAAUGAAAACCAUCUAUAUGAUAAGAAUAUGUUAUUAAAUACGUAUCUUCCUUCAACCACCCCAGAAAAUAUAUAUUCCAAAAAGAUGCAAUUAAUAGUUUAUGUAUCCUAGUAGAACAAGAACAAAUGGCUCAUAAAGACAUACCUCAGAUUGGCCUUGUAAAGAUGCAAGCAAAUCUUUCACAGAAGGGUCAUUAGGAUCGACACCUGGAAGCUGUAAGAGUGAAAUAGUCAUUAUAUGCUGCCGGUAAACCAUAACACUACAGAACUGAGAUUUAACAAUCAUAGAAAUUCAAGUAAAUGCUAUACCGAAUUUAGGAUAGAUGAAACAAAUGACUGGUCCUCCAGAACCUUGCUCAUCUCAGACUGGGUUGGUGAGUCUUUUGCAUUAUCCUGAACAGACAUUUGAAGGGCUGCAAACAGAGCAGUGCAUGCAUCAGAAUCAUAACACUGCAAUUAGAUCUAAAGGAGAUAAAGUUUGUUAAGUAGUAAGGAAGCAAAAAUGUGCAAUUAUGAUAAGGAACCAAGUUUUUAAAUGCAGAACAAAGAUAUCAUAGUAUUAUUCCAAUCAUGGUCAGUGUUGUCAAAGGUGUUGUAGGCCUCCUAGGUACUCAUGCGAGGCAAGGAAGCCCUUGAGUGCCUCAAUAGUCAUGCGACGUGAGUUUGCUAAGUCAAUGCCUAGCCAAGUGCCUAGGACAAAGUGUGAGUGUUGGGCAAGCGCCUCUCCAAUAUCCAGCAGUAUACAUCCUAUCCCUUUUUGGCUCAUUCUUUUAGAAGCUUAUUAGUUUUAUUUUGAGGCUUAUUUUGGUCUAUUGGCAUUUUUAUAAAUAAAUGGCUACUCUACCAUGUUCAAUGAUUUGUAUUUUUUUAAAGUUGUCGUGUUCAUCAAACAUGUUUUAGGAAGUGAUAUUUUGCUACCAUGUUUGAAUUUUGAAGCUACUAAAGAUAUCCAGUGAUUUAUGUUUGCCGACUUUUGAGGGAAGUGGUAUUUUGAUGUGAUACUUUGAAAGUUGUGAAACACGACAUGUAAUGUACAAGACAAUUAUGUUUUUUGAUGUUGAAACUUGAAUAACUAAUCUUUUAAUACCUGUAUAAUCUUCAGAUACAUACGUAGUUAUUUCUAAUACAUUUAUUGAACUUCAAUUAAAUUAGUGCCUCAUGUUUUUCGAGCAAAUGCAUUUUUGUGCCUAGUGCCUCGAGCAAUAUAGGAGCCCUAUCACCUUAAGUGCCCCUUUUUCUAUUCACAACCUUGAUCAUGAUAAUGAGGUAUGACUUGGUCAUUUCUCUAGAUAACUAGUGAAUCUUUACUAGCAAAAGAGGUUAUAUUAUAUGAGUAGCCAUAUAAGGUACAUAAAGGGGUCUCCAUGAACUCCAAAUCAACAAAGGCAACAUGAUUUCCUAUGAAUACAUCAUCUCUAAUCACAUCUUAGUGAGCAAAAAGGAGUCCACCAUCUUGCUUCUUUUCUAAGGCCUUGUUUGGUCACAGAAUUGGGGGAUAUCCCCCCCACUUCCCGCACUUAUUCUACCAAACAACAUUCUUAUUCCCCACUUAUAUCAUCCCAGCUGUUAUCCCUCUUCUCCAUUUAUGUCAUAAGCCAAUUUCAGCCCUAGGCUUAGAUAGGCUUAUUCUGCAGGACUAGGAUCCAUCCAAUUACCAUAUUACCACUCGAAUUAUUCUUUUGCCCCUAUUUACUCUCUAAAUAUACAACAAAGUGGGAGGGCAAUUUUUGUCCUUGCGAUAAAAUCCAAGUCAUCAUGAAAUACGAUGCACAUUAUAUGCACUUUAUUCCCUGCACUUAUUUCCUCCACUUAUCCCUCCAACCAGCCGCUAAAAAGCUCCUAUCCUCAGAAUAAGUCCGUCCCAUGAACAGUACCCAGAUAACUUUUUCUCAUUCCCCCAAAAUUUAUUCCACAACCAAAUGCUAUCUAACGGUAUGAACCAAUGUGAUUUCACGAUGGUAUGGAUAGGCGCCAGACUAUACAUGGGCCAAAAAUGCUUAAGCAAGCAUAGAGUAGACUGCUAUUCACAUAUAUGAUGCACAAAGACAGAUGUAUGCAUGCAAAUGUGUAUAUGUGUAUACGUAUCUUUCAUCUUUGAGGUGUAACAGACUGGACUUCAAAGAGAUAUGAUAUUGUACUACAAAAGAAUAGAAUAAGUUAAAUUAAAGUAUCAAACAAGUGACUCCAAGAGGUCUUUACUCAAAUAUGUAAACCAAGUUCCACCCUCGAACAAGUUGCGAACUAAGUAACCUCCUCAUCAAUCUCUACAAUUUGGGCUAAGACUACAAUGAGAAAUGAAGCUACUAUUAGACCUGUCACAGCAUUUAACUUUAGACAGUCAUAAUGAACUUUUAGUGAAAGAUUUUUUCCAAAUAAAUAUAAUACAAAUACCUGAAGCUGAUAUCAGAGCAUAUAAUAUAUUAUUAACUGAAAUUCUGGCUUAUCUAAAGUUAAAGAGAAAGUUUCCAUUACAUGAUUUGACCAGCACAUUAAUUUCAGUGGCUUAAUCUAAAGUUAAAGGGAAAAUUAACUUUGAAUUUAAUUAGUUUGCUGCUUCUUACAAGGAAAAAAAGGGGGGCUAUUCAGUUAAAAUGUUCAGGCAUUCAGAUAAACAAGUGAUAAUAGCAUUCCUGUCAUAGAUUAUGAGAUUUUUUUAGCAUUUAGAUUUUUUAGGUAACUUAAAUAAAGAAUGUUCAACAAAAGCAAGAAAACAUAUGCCUAAUCUUGCUGUUCAUAAAUGAAUUGUUAGAGCAACAACAAAACAAACCAAGUGCUAAUUCAUGGUCAUCUGCGGUAGCCUCUGACAUAUCAGUAUCUGCCACAGCCACAUUAGUGGACUUAGGGUCAUCCAUCGACAUUGCAAGAGCCUGCUCUAGCAAGGCAGCCUCAUCAUCCUGUUACCACAAGAAGUACAUUUGAUAUCUACAGUUGCUAGAAUUGUUAGUGGAAUAAUAUAAUAAUUAUAAAAAAUAAAUAUACUACACAGAGAAUCAUGCUUGCAUAUAUUAAAAUACUGAUGAAAGCAAAUUUUGGUUUAAAUUCAUCAAUAAUCCAUGAUAACAUAUAAGUAUGCAUAUACAGCCCGUAAAGGAGAACUACAACAUCAUAUGUCAGUGCUCCUGACACAUUUAAUCCAUUUAACACUAUUAAUUCUGUAUAACAAGCAUUAUAUUUCACAAUGGAACAACAUCUACAUAUGGCCCCUUGAAUAAUCGACAUCUUGAAUAAACACUCAUAUUGAGUGUUCUUGGAGAUUCAGCUUCCCGACAGAUGAACUUCUAAAGGAUGUUCUCUUGUAAUGUGCACUCAUGACUCUUAAGGUUCAGGGACGGAAUAAUCUGGAGCAACCCGACAGAGCACCUUCUUACUAAACGUUUGGACAGACAAUGCCAAUUCAGGUGCUUCCUCUAAAAUAAGACCACUUCUUUUGUUAUCUUAGAACAAUGUAAAACAGUCGAUAUCUAAAAAAGAUUCUCAGCAUUGCUUUUGCUUCGUGUGUAGGGUACUGAAAGAAUAAAAAGUUUAUAAGCUACUUUUCUUUUCAUUUUAAUCAAUAUUACGCAACAAUAUUCAGAACCAAAUAGUACACCUAUGAUCCAAGAUUGCAUAACAAGAGCAAUACCAACCACAAAAGAUACCAUAAAAAGGGAGCCUUGUUCAAACUAGUUGUCCUCAGAUUUACAAAUCCUCAUUUACCAUGCAUUCCUAUUGAAUGCUUUUCCCAAUGUUAUUUCAAGGUUUUCAGUAUCCUUUCUUGUAACUUCCAUCCAUAUUAUUUUAAGUCUUCCCCUCAUCCUAAGUUUUUUAAAAUGAUUAAUGUACCCACUCCUUACUGGAGCUUCCUCAUAUCCUUGUUCUACAUUCCGUGCCACAUAAAUCAAUAAUCCAUCACUUUGUCCUUAAUUUGCACACUUCUUAUAGAUCCUUCAACAUACUCAUUUCUCACUUAGUCCUCAAUUUGGACAAGUCCUAUAGCUUCUUUAAAGUGAACUAGAAUAAAGGACUUCAAGUGGAGCUUUUGUGUUGAGAAGUGGGAAUUGAAAUGUAUGUUUUGAACAGUUUGUAAUAUAGGUCGGUGCAAGAACAAGCUAUGAAGGCCAAUUUUGGGUCAGAAAUGUAAUAUGAAGGUUGAAAGAGGGAAAAAAAAAGAUAAAGGUAAAUGAUUAUAAACUAGGGUCUUUGAGAGGUCACAAUGUGUUAAGAUAAAAGAUGAAGGGGAGAAGUUCAAUACAAAUAAGAAAUUAUAAAGACAAGUGCCAAUUUAGCCAGGCACCGCAUAUAGUGUUGAAGGAGCUGCAUCUUCAAAACAUACUUGCAAAGUUAGACCUUCAAUAACUAUAUGAUAUUACUCAAAAUUUUCAGCUGGUAAUAAUUAAUGAGUACCCUAAGGUACAUUCUAAUGGACCACUUGCAAAUUUAGAAGUACAAGAUAUAAAGAAAGAGAAAGUCCACUCCCCCAAGGAUACGAGAAAAACUUCAAACAUAAAUACCCUUUCACAAGGAUGACAUAAAAGAGAAUGAAGGAAAAAAAAUAAAUACAUUGCAGGACUUAAAUACCAAAGAAUCCUCUAGACCUUCUAAACUAAAUUCUAAUAACUAAUUCAAAACUUAUAUUUAAGUCGAUUUAUUUUAGAUACUAAUUCUACUUUAUAUAGGUUUUCUAAAUCCAAAAAUUACAAUAAAGUCAAAAUAAAAUUUUGAAUACUUCUUCAACUCAAACUUAAAAGGUAAAACCAGCGAAAUCAAAACAAUACUAAUGCAUCUACAAUACCCACAACCAAUUAGUAAUAAUACUAGUAAAUGUUUUUACAUCAUCAACAUGGGCCACCUUAUAAUUUGCCUCUACCAUGAAUGAUCAAAUUCCCUUCUUUCUUAUCGCAUUAUACGGGUCAUCAAUUAAUUGUUUGCUGAUCCACGUAACAAGCACUCCAUGAAGAAUCAACACUUCCACCAAUUGUCUCUCAUUCUCCCUCCUUUUAAUCCCAUGGGAUAUUUAAAGCUAAAAUCACUCACAUGCAAGGUUGGCACUACCAAUACUAGGACCGUACAACAAAACAUGGUAUGUACGCUCCAUUGUGCUAAUCAAGCACCAAUACACCCUUUUCUCAUGAUAGCAACGCAAUGACACCAAAAUAUUUAAUGAAGCAAGCAUUGAAACACCAAAAACUUGGAAGACCAAAGUGCCUUAAAGCACAUCUCAUCACUAGCCUAACAUGAAUCUCUACAUCAUGAUGAGAGGACACUAUGGAGCUGCUCGACCAUCAACCACUCUGAUGACAACAAAUCCACCAAGCCAUCAACCCUUGCAACCUUGCCCGUUGGUAAAUACAGCAGAUGGUAGUAAAUACCAUGGACAACAAUAGCCAGCACCAAUAAUAACACCAGCCAAGGAUAAAGGAGAGUGGAAAUGAAAAAAAGGGAAGAAAAAGCCUGAAAGCAUUUCAUCAAAUAGGCAAAGGCAUACUCAACAGCCAUCCCAUAGAACAAUAACCACACCCCACCACCAUACACAAGGCAUCCACCCUAGACACCCAACCGGGCCAAAAAAAAAGGCAUGCUGCACAGCCAAGCCACUGCAUGCUGCAUGCACAGCCACAACCUCCACAGUGAUGCCAAGGAAGAGAAGACCCCUGAAGACACGGGACUAGUGGGCCCCCAAACCCUAAUCCACUUGCUCCCAUAAAGAGAAGCCACCAAAUGAGAAAAAGGGCAGGGGUCAAGACACCCAAGCAAAUCGGCAUUUGCUGGUCAGUACUGCCCCAAACCAGGUAGAACUGAUUGAUUCCACUCAAUCCAACCAGGUUCAGCUAUGGGACCAGAUUGGAAGGUCAUUUCGUCCUUGUUCCUCGCUAGGUCGGUAAAGCGUGAGGUGUUCCACCCAUCUCAAGAUGGUUCAACCAACCUUCACACAUGCACAACUCCAAAUAACUUCCUGACUCAAAAAAAAAGGGAUACAAAUGAAUACACUCCCAAUAAAAUUGAAAUCUGGUGGAAAGAGCAGGAAUGCAAUUGCAUAGUGUUGUUUCAGCAUUAAAUGCAGAUGAAAGUUAAAACAAAAUCUCAAACUUAGAUGUCUUUUGGGGUGGUUCUAUAUCCAGUGGAUAUAUUUUCUAUUCAUGAUCAUGUAGGAAAAUUAUGGGUGGCAAAAGAUCAGGUCCAUGUCGAGUUUGGGUUGGACAUCAUAUUGAGGUUGCACAGAGCUUGGAUCCAACUUGGAAAACAAAUUUCCGAAAAUUUUUAGGACAAGGACCUGGCCUGCUUUAAAAAAUGUCAAUCUGGAAGUAGCCCAGUUUGACUAACUUGCUAAAAACUAAGUGGACCUACUAGUUAAAGAAAAAGAAAUAGCAACCCCUCCUUGUCUCCUACCCCUUUACUUUGUUCCACUGAUCCAAAGAGAGCCUAAACCAAAUCCAUCUCCCACCUUCCAUAAAAAUAUAGUAAUACAUUGAAAAAAUCCAGUCUCCUCCCAACUAUCUAGGGUCAGCACACCUUUUUCUCAAAAAAAAAAACCAAAAUUAUCAUAAAAUCCAAGAUGGUUAGGGAUGUACAAUGGAACUGAGAAGGGUUCUAUAGUAUAGAGAGAAGGCUUGUAAUUUAGAGGCAUCCACCACGAGUUGGAUUUCAAAUGUUGUUAUUCCACAAGCCAAGUUGAACUUUAGUGAUGAUGCUCACUCAAAUGCCCCUUUUUUCUGUCAUAUCCAUGAACAUGCCUCCCCCUCUUUUUAUUUCCUCUCUCAAUGGCCAUGGGAGGAAAGCAAAGAGGGAUAUUAGGGAUUGUGUGUGAGAGAGAGAAAGCUAAAAAGGGAAAGGAGUUUAGGAACUAGCUCAGUUGGUCAUCUAAAGGAUAUCUCAAAUCUCAAGCGAGAAGGCUAUGUUAAAGGGUGGAUGGAGCAAAGUCUAGUAAUUUUUAACUUCUCUUGCCCCAAGUUGUCCAAAAAUAUAGACCUGGACCCAACAAGAACUUAAAUUUAGAUAGAUGAUCACAUUUGGAGCCAAAUUCCAGACAAAGGGAUGAUUCUUUUGAGCUAUUAUUUCUCAGAUUAGAAUGGGUCAGACAGAGCAUCAGACAAAAAAUUGCAACUCCUGAGGAAACUAAGAUGUAAAUGAAUAAAAUGCUAAAGAUCAGCUACCUUCCCAAAGUGUCUUACUUCUGAUUUUUGGAAAUAAAAAAUGGUCAAAGAAGAAUGUCAAGAGUCCUAAGGUUCAAAGAACUAAUAUCAGGGAGUUAUAUAAUAUAAUGGAACCAUCAUAACGUGAUAAACAAACUAGGAUGAAUAAAAAAAAUAUCUAUAAAACAAAUUUAACAAUUUAUAACCCUACACAUUUAAUUAAGUAGUCAUCUAAAUUCAAUAUGUUUGUAUAUUAUAGUGAAAAACAAUGAAGAAAGUAUUUGAAUGCACUAGGGAGUAGAGACUAGAAAGCUUCAUAAUUACUUAAAAUGAACUUUUAAACAAAUGAAGUUCAAAGUAAAUACAUAUUCAUGGUACAAAAUACCAAUAUACUUUAUGAACUUAUAUGUGAGCACUGACUCAGCUUAAAAAAGUUACACAAUAGAACCUAUAUUUUACAAUAUUCAAACUUUUCUUGGCUACACUUAUUUUCUUUUUUUCUUUUUUUGCGAACUUUUGGUGAUUCUUAUGCUGGAAAUCCGAUGUUUGGACCAUAACUAGUGAAACCAUUGAUAUCACAAAGACUGUAAAUUCACAAGCCCAACCAAAACCAAAAAGGAAAAAAAAAGAUUUUUCAAACAUUUAAUUGUCAUAAAUAGGACUAACAUGUCAGGAGGGAAAACAACAAUAGGAAUUGUGGAUUUCCACCACAUGCACAAUAUGUCAUGAUAUAAUUUUCUAAACCCUUUAAUCAGAUGAUUAGCACAAUAUAGAAACAUUAGAGAUGCAUAGGCUACUUCCAUAUUUAGUCAGAAAAGGCAGGAAAGGAAACAAACUGUCAGAUUAUGUCUUUUAUCAUCAACUGCAGGUACUGAGCUACUGUUUGGCUCCGCCAUAGUUGCAUCGUGAGAGCUUGAAGCCUGUUCCCCUCCUUUUUCUUGUUUAGCAGCAUCCUCUGCAGCCUUUUUAGCAGCAGCUUCUUGCCUUGCCCUCUCCUCUUCCAUCGAAACCCUAAGUGCAAGAGCCAACUCAGGAUCUAUGUUAGGAUCCACUCCAAAAUCAAAUCCAGAUAAGCCACCAGCUGCAGCCGCAGCAGCAGCAGCAGCAAAACCACUUCCACCAUCCCCAUCUCCUGUAAAGACUGGUGUGCUGCAAAACAAUAAAUAAAUGAGAUAACUUGGGCAUGAUUCAUGGAUCUUAAGUUGUAUCAUGGACUUCUGGAAAUUUUAGUUAUACCUUAUAAGUACAUCAGAGAGAGCAUUUGGUCCAGGUGGGACAUGAACUAUGUGACUGCUGUCAUUAUUGUUUACAGCAGCAAGAAGGGCCUCCAGUUUUUCAGGUUUGCCAUCAUCAGAUUCUCCAAAAUCAACAAUAUCAAGAGAAACACUGUUCUUCUUCAACUUUCUUCCAAUUGCCUCCAAUGUCUUCUUAUCAUAUUUAAUUGGACUAAUACAUGAAAGGUUUGACAAGAAAAUCAUAAAUCCAUAUAAUCAUGCAAGUGCAAAAACACAUCUUGACCAUACUGUACCUUCCAGCAAAUACUAUGAUCCUUUGUUGCUGCUUCUUAUUUUGGCGGUGUUUAAGAGCCAACUGAGCAACCUGGAUCCCAGCAGUCAAGUUCAUCUCACCGCCAAUUUCCAACCCUGCAUACAGAAAGCAAUCAACAUACAUGCCAUGACAUAUGAGAAGUUAGUCAAAUAGUAUAACAAGAAGAUGAAUCUCUGCUUUACACCAAGCAGAGCUUAGGCUAUUCUGCCUAGCAUGUUUUGCCAUUAUAGAUCUCAAGUUUCAACCCAGAAUACAAAACAGGUAGUAAUUGUUAGCAUGUAUAUCUCUUAAUAUCUCUUCAGUCAUGUGUUUUUCUGAAAGAACUCUAAUAAAAAUUUUAAGAGCAGGGAAAAUAACCUAUUGAUUUUCAAGAUGAACUUCAAAGAGUUGAAGAUAUCGGUGAACUGACAUUUUAAAAAUGAAAAUUUUAGAAAACACUCUCAAAUAAGAAAUAGACUUUCUACAUUGAAAAAGACAAAUACACAUAUUAGCAUGUAUAUACAAAUAGAAUAUAUGAUUUGGUCAUCAUAAAUAAUACAUGAGUGGAAAGCAACAUGUUGAAUUGCCAUCAGUUGGCCAUUCUGAAUAGGAAACAAAGCCAAAAUCUGAUUGCAUAGCCUCCUAUCCAUGGAUGCCCUCUAUGAGGAUCAUGGAUGACCAAUAGCUAUGGCUCUAAGGUAUAAAUUGUAGCAUCAAGGAUUCAACAAUUUAAAUUGUAACAUCAUGAUGAGGAAGAAAGGAAUGCUAAUCAAGUAUUCUUGCCUACACCUUUAGCAUAAUGAAAGUAUGAGGAAAAAGGAUAAUCUAAUGAUUAAGAAGAAAUGAAAUUUGUCAUGCCAUAACACAGCCCAUAAGGCCAUAACCAUAACAUUACACCAGCAGGUACCAUAAACAUGCUCAGAUAACAGCCAGCUUAUGUUUAAUGAUUACAUACACAUCUAAAGCCAUGAUGUUCAAAAGAGUCAGGGCAACUUUGAAUGAGCACAGAAAAUUGCAGCCUCCAUAGAUUAAAAUGAAAGCUCCAGGUAAUCUAUAAUCUGUGGAAGAACUUUAACAUGUUCUCCUUAUUUUUCUUUAGUUUUCAUCAGUAUAAUAUUCAUUAUACGUAGUACUGGAGUAAAUUUCCUAUGUUUUCAUUAACCAUAUGCAAAACAAUUUGUCCAUUUUUCCUUCUUUAUGUUCCAAGACUUCUUAUCAAGAGCCACUGGAAACAGGAAACUUUAAAAAAAAGCAAUCAUCAUGAAACAGAUAACAAGAACAGUGCAGGGAUAUAUGUCCUAUAAUCCUUGCUUAAAUUGCAGGAUAAGUGCGUUUGUAAUCCACCAAAAUACCACUCAAAAGAGUGUUUCUUCAAACAAAAAGAUGUGACUUUCUGCGGUGCCUUCAUCUCCAAUAUUCCAAAAUUCCUGAAGCUUCAGUUCACCAAAUAGUUUAUAGUGUAAAAAAGCGUGGAAUAGCUAGAUCGGAGAAUCAAUCUAAUCCUAAAAGAAGCAAAAGCGGACUAUCCAAAUUACAAUCUACUACUUGAAUGAUAAAAUAGUUAUUAUGAAGAAAUUGGGGUUCGUUUAAACAGAAAGUUUAUCAUAAAUAAAGAGAUGCAACGCUAAAAAAGAAUAAAUUUUGCAAAGAAAAAUUCUACCAUGCAUGCAAGCUAGGAUCUUUCCAAGAUCACCGGUUGGAGUGACUAGAACACGGACCCCCUUGCCUGCCAUCGUCAGGACGCCCACUGUAUUCUCCGGAUUAGACUGUAGGAUCGGACAUAUAUAAUACAUAAGAAGAAGAAGGCAUAUAAUCUAAAACCCUAAUAGUCGACCAAUCCUAUGAAAAAAAGAAAAAAAUACACCCCUAGAAUCCAUAAUUUCAAGCGUUGGUUUGGAUUAAAGAUGGAGGCGAGAUCGAGGGAAAGGUGAGUAAUUACCUGCGUUUUAGCCCCGCAUAUGAGAUUGACGGCGUCGGCUUGGGCUUGGAAUCGGGUGGGCGAGUAGUCCCCAUUCCGCAUCCACUCCGAAUUAUCGAUACAGAUCAUCGUCGCCUGGGAGAAACAAGAAAAAGACUAGGUUUCAGCGAAACCCUAAAGAUCCGACGAAAUUAUGCACACCGAGAGGAACGGAAGGAAAUAAGAAGGGAGGAAGAAGGAAGGGACCCAGAGGGAGAGAUGUGACCUCAAGAACCAUGGCGACAAGGCGAGAUGGAGAUCGAAGAAGAAAUCGCGAUGGAGGGAGGACAGGAGGUCGGAAGAGAGAUUUCAAGAAUUCUUGCUUGCGAUCGAGACAGCCUACGACGGUACUAGUUGGAGCAAGGAAUAGAUGUCCAGUCUGCCGCACGUCUACUUUGGUAAAGACAAAUAAGAAUACGACGCGUGGCUAAAGUUUAGAUGUGCACGCCGGCCCGCAUCAAAUAUCAAUGUAAAAUAAAUAAAUAAAAAAUGUGUGCGUAAAAUUAUGAUUUGCAUAUAUGCUUUUAUAAAAUAUUUAUUUUAUAUGUAUAAUAUAUAUAUAUAUAUANNNNNNNNNNNNNNNNNNNNNNNNNNNNNNNNNNNNNNNNNNNNNNNNNNNNNNNNNNNNNNNNNNNNNNNNNNNNNNNNNNAAAAAAAAAGAACUUUAUAAAGAUAUGCAUAUAAAUAGUAACUUUGUAAGGAUAUUCAUACAAUUACAUAUAUUUAGAAUGGUAUGCAAUUAAAAAAUAGUAAAAAAUGAUCAAAAUUUAGUAAAAAUAAUUCAUUUUUUAAUAAAAAAGAUGGUAAAUAAUGAUUAACAUUAUCGUGUCACAUGAUCUCAUGUUAAUAUCAACUAUUAUAAAAUGAAUUAUGUUGCUUGUACGAAAUUCUCGCUUCAAGAACAAACAACAACUUAAUAUUUACAAAUUACUAAAAAAUAUUUUACCAAUCUGAGCAUCUAUAAUUAAUUUAAAUAUGAUAUGCUUGAACUUUUUAAAAAAAUAAAGAAUAUAUAGAUGUCAUAGAUUCAAUAAUGAUAAUUAUAUUAAAAUCAAAUGGAGAAUAGCAUUAACAAAAUGAUCGUCUAAUAUUCUAUUUUUGAUGUGUCGAUCUAGCUGAAUCAUAAAAGACUUACCAAGUUCCAGCCGAGUUUUGAUCUUUUUUUAAUUUUUUUUGAAUAUAUAUCCUUCUAAAUAUGAAAAAUUAUAUAAAUAUCUUUGUAAAGUUGCUAUUUACAUGUAUGCCUUUAUAAUUUUUUUCUACAUAUCUAUCCGUAAGGGUAUUUCAGUUAUUUUAGUUUUAAGUCAUUUAAUUUUUAAGGACAUUAGAUGGUAUAAGUACAUAUAUAUAUAAAAAAAGUAAAAAAGAAGAAUAUACAUGCAAAUAGUAAUUUAAUAAGCGUAUUCAUGGAAUGCACCCCCACUCAAAAAAAAAAAAAGAAGGAAAGAAAAGUGAUUCAUAUGCAUGACUUUGAUGUACUUUACAUUUGAUGCAUCUUGAAGGUAUAACGUUGUUGAAGUUGCGCCAACGCACGCACUGUAUCUGGCUCAUCCGAUUAACGUAAGAGGAUUGAAUGAACCUACAUAGAUGAUUUUGACUUCCAUAUGUCCAUGCCUAAAGUCCAUGCCUGAAGGAAUAAAAGCUUUGGUUAAUGCUGAUACUGUCGAAUCUGUUUUCUUAGAAUCUAGCUCUCUUUUUCUUUUUUCUUUUUUGUUUUUGGGGGUCGUUGGACCCCAGAUGCAUUGGGGGAAAAAUAGACUACAUAGUAACGUGAGCAUCGCACGUAUCAUCGUGUGCACAUUUCUCUUAAUAAAAUCAGUACUGAUUAGAUUAGAGUACUUUGAACUGCAGUAACCAUUGUUUUGAUACACCUUGGACAGCCGAACCAUUUUGUAGGACGUAGCCACGUAGGUGAAGCAUUUUUGGUUAAACAGGCCACAAAGAAAUAUCAGAAGUUCCUUUGUAAUCUGGUGCAUGCAAGAUUCUCCCGUGAAUAAAAGUGAAGAAAACUUGGAAUCUAGGAAUAUGUAUACGAAGAUGGUGGAACAUGGAAUGGAAGCACAAAACUCAAACAAAAUAUACCACAGUGCAAGCGAGCAAAACACAAACAAGCCAUCACAACAAGAGACUCCAUGACAGUGGCUUACAGAGGCUGUUCGCUCCUGGAAAAAGAACCUGAAAUAUGGGGAAGCUCUCCGAGGAAGACAUGACAGCUCUUCGAGGAAAGGUACAGCAUCACAAACCCUACAAGGUAUUCUGAAUUGCCCAUGGAUUCAAUAAACAAUCCAGAUGCAACCAGAACUGGAGCAAAUAAAGCAUACAAGAAGCAACUUCACCAUCAAAAGAUGUCAUAUUAUCAGAAGAAAUAUGAUUACAUUACUUGUACAGUUGAGGAACAAUCAAUUUAGGUAUCAUGCAAGCGCUGAUGAUUUGGAGGCAAAAGAUGUGCAUGCAAUUAGUUAACCUUCCUGGUGGCAGCAGAGCGCUUAUUGCUCAUGUCAUCUCCAUGAAAUGACAUUCUCAGGAUUAUACAGAAGGGUGAGAAGCAGAUCAUUAUGCAACAAAUGGAGUUCUGUCGUUAAGGAAGGCUCUACGAUUUCUACUGACAGGGAGAAGUACAUAAACCUCAUGGACCUCCUGCUUACACGCUUCCCCUUUAUCCCUGUCUAUGGCAUAGCACACAUAAAUGGUAUCAAUAACGUUAUCCAACACAUGAACAAAGUAACACAACACCACCAUGAGCAGCAACCAUGCAAGGGCUGCAACAAGAUACGUUUCAACCCCGAGAGCACUAACAGCUUUCAAAAUCGCAUAAACCUGUUUCAAGACACAGAUAUACUGAUAUUCAUCAGAACAUAAAACAGAAAUCCUUGGAUUUCUGAUUCACAAAAUUUCACCAAAUUUAGUUACAUAACAGCAUCUAACAAAUGUGUGUUAUUCAUAACACCAAGAGAAACAAAAAUCUUAUGAAGGUGGAUAUGUUUUUUACUGGCAGUUUAUUAAUGUUCCAGUUUUAAUAUCUUGGCUCUUAGAAGAAGGCUGCUACAGAACAAUUGUUAUCAGACACUCCAGAAAUAAAAAACUAUAACCCACAUGCUUAAAUUUCUUGCAUAGACAAUAGAUCUCAAUAUGGCAUGUGUCAUGAUAUAGGGAAGAAACAUUGUUAAAAGGAUCCCACUCUCAUCACACGCACACACACCCCACCGUAAACAAUCAAACGGAAAUGUCUAUCUCGUUAUGUGAAUAUAUACAUUAACUUGCUAGUAUUCUUUUAUAACAAUGAAUACCCAGAAGUUCCUAGAUUCAAAUUCUUUGGAAGUCCAUGUAUCGCUCAGGAAUGAAACAUUUUAAAGUUAAUUUUGCCAUUAGACAGAGAUUAAUGAGUAUUAAAAAGCAAUGAGCAAUAAUUAUAAAUUUUCAAAAGCUAAAUUUGUAUUGGUGGAGUUCUUCAAUGCUCCAGAACUAUAAAGGAUGACAAAACAGCUAUGUAGGGAUCACAGCCUAGGCAUUUCUUAGUUUACCUAAUGAAAAAUGUUCUGGUUUGGGAAGAUUCUUGCUAUCAUAAGAUGAGUGUAACAAGGAUGAGAAUGCCAAAUGAACAUGACGUAAAAAAUAAGACAAGAUACAGACUAGAUUUGUGCUGCAAUGUUUUCAGUCUAAAAUGGAAUGAGCUGUGGUCUACACAGAGCCCAUCAAAACAUGGUUUCUUGCAAAAGUUAAUCCACCAGAAUGCAAUUGCAUGAAGUUUUCAAAUAAAUAUAAGUUUAUUUGUCCCUUUGUCCAGACUGUAACAUCUUUCUUUUCAGCACACUAACAGAUUUCUAGAUUGAGAGUCAGAAAGACCUUUCUGAAUGGAAUGAGAAUUUUUUUAUCUGCUCCAUCCUUGGUUCUUCGCAUAAACAAUCACGAAAACAAUGUUACACAUGAUUAGAACACUGGAUGCCCAUAAUCUCAACAAAACCAUGCCCAUGCCAUCAAGCCUUCUCCCAACAUUAUCUAGAAGUUAUAUUCUAACUAUAACUAAAGCCCCUUAGCUAUUUACAUGGAAAGAGUUUUAGCAAAUUUUACACAAUUUUCUAGCAUAUUUUGUGAUAGAGUUUUAAAUUAUAGGUGUGCUUCCAAUCCUCAUCAUCCUAUAGCUUUUCAAAUCCUUACAAACCUUUUUGCCGGAAGAGUUUCUUUCAAUCUUUCCAGUUUCUUGUGAAACAUCUAGUGAGUAUGAAGGUUGACCAGUCUUGACCUAACAGAAUGACAUACAGUAAGGUUCCUUCAUGACUUUAAACAUAAUAUUAGGAGACAUAAGGCUUGCCUCUGUUCAAGUUGUAAUAUCUCUCUCUUAUGCCCCAAGUUUAAUUGUUUAAGUGACCAAGGGAUCUUGUGAUAGAAGUGUGGAAUCUUUAGGUGUCGCACAGCUCUCUAACAGCACGAACAUCCUCUUGAUGCCCAACGCCAUAACCUCUAUCCUUGGCCUUAUCCUCUUAGUAAGAACUCUCAGCUUGGUGUAUAAGUUUCAUGGUACCAAUUUGAUUUAUCUUCCUUAUAGUUGAGACAUGUACAAGGUACAGGGAGAUUAAUAGAUAGGAUUAUCAGUGUUUUAAGGGAUUUAUAGGUCUGCUAUCCAGAAAUUUGUCCUCCAAUGGAUCUAGACAUAUCUACAGAAUUUGGGUAAAGAAGGGCGAAGAAAGGGGUUUCUUGGGACUAUGAUUAGUAGGAAACUAGGUUAAAUUAGGGGAGGGGUGCAGGGGGGUGUUUAAUUUUGGACUAAGAGCCAAGAAACAGCAGGACGUAAGAAAAAAUAGAGAGGAAGAAGCGUGAUAUAGGGAAAAGAGAAAAGGGUAAAAGAGAAGCUAAAAAUAAGCAGACAUUACAAGGAGAUGAAAGCUGGCUGAAGAUGGCCCUUUCACUUCUUCCUUGCCUGGAUAAUGGAAAACUAGUCCCCUUUCUGACCAACCUCUGCACUUCUAUAGAAUUGAUAGCUAUAAAAUAUGGAGGAUAAGUCAAAAAAGAUUAUAGACAAAUGCCACUAAUUUUCUCCCAAAUUCUUGCAAAGGAAGAAAGAAAUCUAAAUUCAUAAAAGCUAAAUACGUCCCUUUAGUUUCUUGCUGAAGAUUCCAAAAAUUUCCAUGAUAGCAUCCAAAGGAUGUUAUGCUGUCAACCACAAACAUUAGACCAUUUCUGGAAGAGGUGGGGGGAGGCCUGAUCCAAGGAUUACGAAUGGAUGCUAAAUUAAAAAUCUAAGGAGAUUUUUGAAAAUGCAAGCUCAUGAAUCAGUAGAAUCAAUUGUAUGCAGAAUCCAAUUUCAAUGAGAUUUUGAACAAAAUUGCAAUCCAUCCAAAGCAUCUCAGUGUAAAACUAGACUAUACAUCUUUGUCCCAAAAAUGUUCCACUAAAGACAACCACUAAACCUAGAGAGAGAUAGCUGGGUGAUAGCCUUGUUCACAGUAAAGAUAAUUUUCUAAUUAGAUGAAAUAUUAUGGCCUAAAUGUAAACACUUCAUCCAUCAUAGGUAUAUGCAUUAUUUGUUGCUGACUGCAGACAGAAACUGAAGUUGUGAGAUUUAUGAAAAAUAAAUUUACAGGUUUCACAUACCGCUAUAGCAUACAAUGCUGAGAGAACAAAAAUAAUUCCAGCCAGUAUGCGUGUGGAGACUGUCUCAACAAAAACAGCAGAAAGAAGAUUUCGUUUUAGAAGCUCAUAUGUCAUCUUAGAAGAAGAACAGUAACCUUCACCCAUUAUUGCAGCAAAAUUUAUGGUAAACUUGUUAACAAAGUCAAAUGCUGACAGCAAGAAAUUAGCACAGCACUUGAGCACUAGAUUCACAAAUCCUGGAGCUACAUCUUCUUGCUUUGCACUAUCUACAACAGCACGGACAACACGGAUAGCACCCAUUACCAUUCCAGAAAAACAUACUGUACCAAAGGAGGGACCAAAAGCAUUCCUGCAUAUAUUAGGAAAAUAAUCAAGAACAGCAAUGAAAUGUUUCCAUGAAAGUAUCCAUGUAUAAAUAUAUUAAACCAUUAAUUUGAAGAGCAAUAAAGAAAAGCUGAGGUUUCUGUUUGACAACAUCUGCGACCCAGGUUCUACAUCCAGGUCCUGGACCUAGUAUCGGUCAGGGACCGGGUUGGGACUGGUAUCAUCCUGACACUUGGGCCAGGUUGGCAUCUUGAUAAUUCACUGGGUACCUUUUUUCUUAUUUUUCCGGUUGUUUGUUGUUUUUUAAUGUUUGUUUAGAGGGUUUUUAGGGUUUGCUUGUCAUAAUUUAGGAUUAGGGUAGGUUUUCGGAGCCAAUGAUUGGAUUUAUGGUGCCCAUACUGAUGCCAAUUUCAUAUUAGGUUUAUGGUGUCACACAAAGAUGUAAUAGGCUAUUGUAUGAUUAUGAGUGUUAGCUUUGCCUUGUGAAUUUGUUGUAAAAAAAGUGGUUAGUUUGACUCAUGAAAAAAUAAAGAUUCUGAUUUUAGAUAUUCUUCUUUCAACAGCUAUAUAAUUUUAUAAUAAAAGCAAAGUAAGUAUUGGUUCUCUACUUUCAAACCUUGCAUGUACAAAAGAUACAUAAUGGAGAAAAGAAGCUAAGUUUGUUCAGUGACUAAGUUAGAUUACCAACCUUUUUAGGUUUUCAAAUAUUUUCUGGCCUCUAAAUUUUUUCUAGAAGAAUAUUAGAACAAACCAUAAAACAGAAUAAAAUUGUCACAGAAAAUAGAAUCAUGAGUGCAUAUUAUAUUCCAGAUCUAAAUUUGAAAAAUGUACAAUACUCAUUAUCAUCAAGUGAAAGCAAACAACCCCAUAAUCCAUAAUCAUCACAAUCAAGCCUUACUGCCUUACCAAAUUAUUUGGGAAUCAUCUUUAUAUCCUCAUUCACCAAUCUUUCCCAUAAGCUUACUCCAACCAGUGUUACUGCUCCAUCAAUGCUAGUGUAGGCCGUCCUCUCCCUUCUCUAGACACUUCAACAUAGAUUCAAACACCUGUCACUAUCAAGGACUCAUCACUGCAACUCCUAUGCCUCUAAUAUAUGUUCUUAGCUCUGUCCUUCCUAGUUUUACCAUUCUUCUACAUCAACAAUUUCAUUUGUUCCAUGUUCAUCUUGUUCUCUCAUCCUUCUUAUUGCCCAAUAUUAUAAAGCAUACAGCAAUAUGGUCAUAUCCUUCUUAUUGCCCAAUAUUAUUGCCAAGGAACACAUCAGUCACAUAACACACAAUAAGCAUCUCUCCACUUUAUCCGCCUAGCUCUAACUCUAUUGAAUGCAUUAGUCUAUCUUGCCACUAUGUUUUUACAAUAAAUCCAAGAAAGCAAAAUCCUACUGCCACGUAGUAUGUCUUGGCCAGUAACUAAGACCUCAUUUUCAUUUGUAGUCCAUUGGAUUUCAUUCCAUAAACUAUAUUUUGGCUUUACUGACUUUUAAGGCCCUCAUUUUCAAAGAUUUUACUCCAUAUUUCCAAAAGAACCACAUCCUAUUCUCAUCCAUAUCAUCUGAAAAUAACACAACCUAUAAUAUAUUUUCCAAAAAAAUAGCAGUAAGUUCAUCUGCAAACUGAUAACAAAGUUGUAUAUCUGGUCCAUUAAUUUUCAUGAAGGCCUGACUCUGUAUGUAUUUAUGUAUGUACAUAUCUAUGUAUGUAUGUGCAUAUCUAUGUAUAUAUGCACAUGUGCCCAUUUAAAGCGCAUUCCAACUGAACAGUCAAAUCUCAUCCGCUUCUCAUUAAUCACAUAAUAAUAACAAACUUUCCUGAAUAUUAUCAAUAAGUUCAACUAGGGAUAGACUAAGGAUACAUAAUAUAUCGCUAAUCCUCGGCGUAAACUCACGGUGACUAAAAUUGACUUUUCUCUCAUCGUAACCACUAGCAACUGUCACUGCCUUAAAAUACAUGCCAUCAACAAUUUCAAUGUAUCAUUUACUCUCAACUUACUUCCUCAAUUCCCACCAAAAUGCAUCUCACGAUACUCCAUCAUAUGUUUUCUCCAAGUUGAUAAACAUGUCUAGGUUUUAUGCUUCUCCCAAAAACUUCCCAUCUAUUACCAAAGCAAAAAGAUAGGCCCCAUUAGUUAUCUGCCAAACAUAAGGCCAUAUUCACUCUCCUUUAGUUUGUUAUUAUAUUUGUUAAUUCUUUGUUCUUUCUCUCUUUCCCAUAAUUCCCCAUAUUUUGUUAAUAGUUGGUACAAAUUUAUGAAUCAACUUAAAGGUCAGCAGCAUGCAAGCAAAUGAAAACUAGGGCAUGGAUUAGGUCCUGCUUCUAUACAGAUAACUAGUUUGUUAGUCGAGCUCAUGAGCUCACAAACGCAAUAUCUUGACUCUUGACCAAAUAAUCAAAACUAAUCACCAAUCUACCAAAAAACAGAUGCAUCCUGAACAAGGGAAAUUCCUGCAUAAAGCAGCCAGUGUAAACAGCCACCAUUAGUUCUAAAAUGCUUUCUUUCACUUCAGGAGGUGCAUGCUUGAACCUAUUAAAGGUUCUACUUCAAGAUAGCAGAACAAAAGACAGAAAAAGGGCCACCAAGGUGGUAGCUCAGUUGGAACGGGGCGUUUGCUUCCAACCAAGUGGUUACAGGUUCGAAAUACGCGGGCGUCGAUUAAAUUCGGGGACUGGAUGCCCCACGCCUGAACACGGGGUCUGGAAGCGCUACUGGUCGGCUGGUAACCUUGGUAGUGCUAGGUGUGACAUACUCACAUGGUAGGUUCGUGCCAGAGCCCAGAAAGGUAACCGAGCCGGCCCACGGGUGGGAAGGGUAUGAGUAAAACCGGUCGGGGUGCCCAACACACACGGUCAGCCCGCAUCGAAUAUUCUUCUGGCGGGGUGGGGGCCCAGUGGGGGUUGCUCUGCGGGGUGGGCUCCCCCCUUCCCCUUUUCUUUAAGCAGAAAAAAAAAAAAGCAGAAAAGGGAUAAGAACAUCACCUUAAAGAGCUCCUUAUGCUCCGGCUAGGCUUGGACCCCUCCUUCGAGAAAUACCACUGUGCGAUCGUCCCACUAAUGACAUACACCUGUGCCUCCACCAUUACAGCUACUGACCACACCAUCGUGAUGAUCGCCAGUGCAAAGUAAGCCGGAACCCACCCAUCCUGCCUCCACACGCACAAAUAAUACUCCCCCCCACUGGCUCCCUCCUUCACCUUGGGCACCACCUUCCCGUUCCACGUGGAAAACACCAAGAACACCACGACUGGGGCAAAGUAGACCAGGAGGCCGAGCCCCAGCGCGGGAAGCACGGCGAGCAGGCUCAUGUUGCCGGCGAGGGCGGCGGCGGCGAUCCGGACGAUCCGGACGGUCAGCUCGACGCGGUGCCAGUUGGCGACGAUGAUCCAGAGGAUGAUGGCAAUGAGGAGGAAGAUGAAGAUAAGGGCGAGGAUGCGGUAGGCAAGGGGAAAGGAGUGGCGGCAGCCGUGGCUGAGGGCGCAGGCGGCGAACCAGUAGACAUUGACAAAAGCCGGGAUGAGGAUGAAGAAGGGAAGGGCUGCGUACACCAACUGUUUGGCGUAAUGUCGGAGGAGCCAGAGGACGGCGAGGGCGAUAGGGCCGGCGAGGAGGAGGGUGACGACGAGAGUCCAGCUGAGAUCCUUCAAGAAAGGGGAAGAAGAGGAGGAGGAGAAGGAGAGGGAGUUGGAGGAAGACAGGACGCAGGAGGAGGUGGCCGGGUCGAAGACGAAUGAGGAGGCGCGGGAGGCGGCGGGGUUGCGGCGGGCGACGGCGACGAGGCCGAGGGCGAUGGUAGAGAGGGAGAGGAGGAGGAAGAGGACGAGAGCGGGGAGGUCGCGGAGGGGGCGGGGGCUGUGCUGGUAAUUGAUCGGGGGGUAACUCUCGUCGGCGGCGGCGGAGAGGAGGGGCUGGGAGGCGGAGGAGGGGUCGUAUAGGAUAGACGGUUUGGACUCGUCGCCGCUUCCCAUAAGACGGGGCGGAUUGUAUGGACGGCUUGGUGAUCUCGGGGGCGGUGGGUUCCGACCAACGAUGAAGGGUCGGAGGGCCCGGGUUGGGUGAUGAGCAAAAAGAGACGGCGAUGUGCGAUGGCGGAAAUAGGCCUGCGAAAAUUAGGCGUGUGCAACAAACCAACAGAAUCAAUCCAGAGCUGUAACGGGUGAAAAAAUAAAGGGUUUGAAUACGGUUCUUCGGCAGCCUGCAUAAAUACUGCAGGUUAAUCAUCCCCAAAUCAAGCAUAAUCCUUAAGGAACGUUUAGUAUAGGUGAUCAUCCCAAGAUCAAGAAUGAUGUAAAUGAAAGUGAUGAGAUCACCGCAUUUAGUUGCACCACAAUGAUCCUACGUUGUGGUGAUUCUAAAUUACCUCUACUCCUCAAAUCACCGUCCAACUCGGUGAUGGAAUAUCCGCCCUUAAGAUCCGAAAUCCAAUAACAUCCUAGAACAGUGGUUCUAAGUUAAAAGUUAAAGACAAAAAUACCUUUUAAUUUAGCAGAAAAAUUGAUAUGUCAAUAUACCAUCAAUAUAUUAUGACAAUGUUUAUAUAUAUAUAAUAUUAUGUUGGCAUUAUAUAUUAUAUUACGAUUAUCCAACAAGGCAGCAUGUGAUUGGAACAACAAGUCGUGGUUCGUGUGUUCACAUGGGGCUGGACCAAUCAUGGGGAAUCAUUUUCCUUCACCAAUCACGGCUAUUACGCCUUGCAGUUUUGGCUCCCGUUACAGUCCAUGAGAGAAGACCUUUUGAGCCAUCCAAGGUAUGAUGUGCUCGCGAAAGCUAGAAAUGCUGCAGCUUGCCUUUUGCAAAUCAGGAUUAAUAACGAAGAAGGUCCAGUUCUAGGCUCCUUGAUGUAUGAUCGACACCCCUGAUCUCAAAGGGAAAGGGUUGUGAAAAAAUAUUCUUUGCUGCAAAUCAGGAGACAAGAAUGGGAUGAUGGAGUCUGCUAUCAGGUACGAAUAAAAUGAAAACAAAGGUCGUGUUAAGAGUUAGGUUAAAAAAGUUACUAGUGCCAUGAUUUGAGUGGAAGUCGUCAUCGGCCAGAGACAAUCGCAGUGUUCCCAUUACAAAAAAGUAACGGCUGAGCCAAAGGAGGACCUCUUGGAUCAGCAACACAAACCUCCAAGGCAUUUUCAAAAAUAAUGACAUAAGACUCUAAUAUAAGAUAUUGGAAAGGAGUUAUCAGGGAAUUGACUCUUGCAGUAUGUUCUCUCACGGGAAAGACCUGGAAUCUUGCAAUAUGGAGCAGGUCUCCAUGCAUGGAGGCAUUCCCAAAUCUUACUCUUAAGUGCCAACAUGGAGAGGAAGAUGAGCUUUAAUGACUAAGCCGCAGGCUCAUUUGAUCAGAGCGAGACAAGAGGUGUAACCUCGAGAGCAGUUUGAACUUGGAUCCAUUUGUAUUUCAGUUUAGAGCGCUAAAUCUUUAAUUAUUUAUAAUGGAGCUCGAGCAUUUAUUUCUCGAUAAGUUUAUAAGAGCAGCAUGGGAAGGAUUGAAGGAUGCUGUUUGCCAGUUGAAUGCCAGUAGAAUAUGAUUGGAAGGGGAUUCAUUAACAGCCAUUAAUUGGAUUAACAGCCCUCGGUUGUGUUCGGUUAGUCACCAUCCUAUUCUAAAAGACAUCUGGAUCUUGGAGAGAAUCCUCCAACUAUUCCAUGCUAAUCACAUCUCACAAGGAAGCCAAGCUGAGACUGGCUGGCUGAUACAGGAACAGAGGAAGAUUACUUGUCUUCACAGGACAAGCAACCUCGUUAUCAUUAUUUGUGCAUGCUGAUAACUUUCGUUGUUCUUUCUUGCCAUUUUGAGUUCUUGAGAUUUCAAAUCCAAAUCAGACAAAAAAAAAGAAGAAGAAGAAGAAGAAGAAAAAUUCCUUGCUUAAGAAACUUGAAAUGUACGACGAUGACUCGAACUGAUCAUCAUUUUGAACCAAACAUCAUCCAUUCUAGUAAUGGUUCCUGACUCAAAUCCAAACUCAGCAUAGAUAGCAUGAUCUCUAUUGUGGUUGAAAUCUGACCUGAGAGUGACCACGCCGGAAAGAAGCUAAGGAGACGCCGGCCGGGAUGGAGAAGAGGGCUACCUCCAAUGCUCCGGGGUGCCUCCGAGAAGACGCCGGCUGGGACGGAGAAGAAGGGCCACCUUCUGCGCUCCGAGGUACUUGCACAGAGCCUUGGCCGGGGAUUCCGACUAAGGCCCUUCGAUAGCUAAGUUAGCCGGGCCUUUUUGUGGAGAGAAGAGUUUUCUGAGUGCCUUUGAUGGCCUCUUGUAGCUCAAAAUAGCUCGUAGAAGCUUAAGAAUGCCUUUAAAAGCUUGUCCAGGCUUAUCCAAACUUACUGAGGGCUUUUUCCUACCCCUUUUUUUAUACGGUGAGGGUUUCAGCUGUUACUUGAAGUCUCGGGCCGAUUUGUGAUUGAUGGGCCAUUAGCUGGAGGCGGCGUGUUGGCAGGUGCGGCAAGAUAUGACCCUUGGCAGGUGUGGCAGAAUAUGACCCUUGACAGCAAGCAUGGCUGGGACAACAAAGUGUUGUCCUUGGUUGGCACGUCAUGGCAUGGCCAACAAGUAAUGGUUCAUAGAAGGGGGCUGGCUAGGCUGAGGUGUUCGGCCAUGUGUGCGAGCGUGGGCGUGCGUGCAGGUACGGCUGCGGGCGAGGUCGGGCAGGCUUGGAUGCCGCGACAUAUGCUUGACAAAGUCGGCUUGGGCCUCUGGCCGAGGUCCGCUGGCUCUUGGCGGGGCUGAAGUCUACCUCUCCGGCCGACUCGGCCAGAAUUGGAUGACUCCAUGCCGGAAUGGGAUGAUCCAUUUUGUCUCCCAUCAAUCUCUUUUUCGUUUUUCUUUCCCUUCUUUUCCUACUUUUUUGUGGAAUGCAAUUAGAUGCAUCGGCUAUGAAAUAUCAUGGGCAUCUUGAGAGCUUUGUAGACUCUGUUCUAAAUCAAGCGAGUGCGAAUUACUUAAUAUCUCGUAUUUCAUGCAUGCACUGCAUCGAACUCGUGCAAGGGCUGGAACAAACUCUAGAAGGUGUCAUGCAGCCUAACGAUGAAGUAUUUUGAUCGUUGUACCGGACAUGUUGGAUCAAAUCCAGCCCUGGUCGAGAUCAGAGAAGAGUUCAGGUGGAUUGAGAUUUGAGAGAAUUGCUAAUGGGUAUAUGAUCCUUAAAUGCAUGCAUAUAUAAUAAUCAAAUAUAAAUUUCUUAGGUCAAAAAAAACAUUUGCUGGAGCAUUAUGAGCUUUAACAAUCAUGGAUUUUAGGUGUGCUAACAUGAUUGAAUUUAAUGUGCAAAUUCAACUCUGAUCUCAGUAUCAAAAUAAUACAAAAAUUCCCAGCAUUUGGAACAACAACUGGGGCUUAGCAUGGCAAUUGGACAAACUGUCAAAGAUCCUUGCAGUCCCUCAUGCACUAUAAACUUAUCUACUUUAUCAUAACCAGUGCUAAUGAAUUCGGAUUAGGUUGUACCUUUUGCACGAAAGAAUGAUUGAUCUUUUUUCAUGAUAUCAACUGUUGGAAUGCAACCCACACAUCUCUCAAAGCAUUCCAAACUUUUCCUUUCUUCCAUCAAUAUAGAUCUUGAAGCGGCUACUACAUGAUCCAACAAUCACGUCGCAAAAGAAGAUGAAUCAUCCUCUACCAUGAAAGAUACAACCUGAACACAUUAAAUCCAAGAAUAGCACUAUACAUAUUCUUAGCUGAUAUUUGUUUCAAUAUUAUUUUAUUUCUAUAGACGUACAUAUGUGAAUCAACUUAACACGAGCACUACAGCUCUUCUCGAGGUUUCUUCACGGCAAACCCAUUCUCUACCCAUGCGGCAUACCCACCUCCCAUGUUCUGAACAUGCUUGAAACCCUGCAAUUUAAUUGAAAACACCACCUCAAUUUCAUAUAAAAAACAAAACCAUGCAUCUCCACUCCAAAAGAAUGGCCAUGUCUGCUAGCACCACAGAGCUAAGGGUUGAAAGUAAAGUAACCAUUUUUUUUUUCCCCUUUUCUGGUUCAAGCUGAACCUGAUUGUAUUCUUUACUAAAAUCCACGGCAGUUCUAUAGAUUUGGCUUAGUUUUCUAGCCAAAUUACAAGGUCAUUGGAUCUAUAAUAGAUUAGAACAGGCAUAUAGAUUAAAUUAUAUAUGGUUAGCAGAUCAAUUUAAUCUAUAGUGAAGGAGAAAGAGCAACAAGCUUGACCUAGUUUACCUCAGUGUGGAGGUUCUUAGCACAAAUUAAGGUAUAACAAAUGAAAAGGAGAAUUACAUCAAAAAAAAAAACAAAUUAAAAGGAGAUAACCUAUAAAUGUAGACACAAUUUUCUUAGGCUAUCUUCUUUUUUUCUUCUUGUUCUCUUUUUCUUUUUUUUGCUAAAAAAAAAAAAGAAGAAGAGGGGUGAGGAGAAUCUCACCCGCGUAGCAACCUCCACUGGGCUCCCUCCCCACUGGAGAGUGUUCGAUGCGGGUGGAAUAUUUUUUACUCAUACUCUCUCCAUCUGUGGCAGAGCUCCACCUGUGUGGUAGCCCUAUCUCUGUGUGAGUACAUCACACUAGCACCACCUAAAUAAUGGCACGACUUCACCAGACAAACCAGACGGAGGGCAUCCGGUCUCCACAUUUAAUCGACGCCCACAUGUUUCAAACCUGGGCCACUCCGGUUGAAAUCAAAGCCCCAUUCUCACCGUGCUACUACCUCGGUAAUUUAGGCUAUCUUUAUGGUAGCUUACUCUUCAGAUUUCUAGUAAUCACAUUAAAAUACGGUGUCUUUCAUCUAAUGGUAUAAUAAAGUCUAGACAUGGCUCUUAGCUUUCCCUGUAACUUCUUAUUUAUUUCAAUGCCUUUGUUUUUAUUUUCGCUCCUUCAUUACCGAAAUCUGUAAGAAGAAGGGAAGAAACCACUCACAGCGUCGAGAAGAUCCACAGCAGCUUGGAGGGACCGCACUCCGCUUAGACAUCCCUAUUCAGGAAGAAGGAAAAAAAAUUAUUUCCACAUGAAAGGAGAAAAGGGAAAUAAAAGAGAGGAAAAAUUGAAGAUGAGCUACCACAACUAUGUGAUCAUCCUUGUCGCAAACCAACGAGACCUGCUCCACGAACUUGAGAUUUUUCUCCUUUCCUGAUCCACGUUACCACAAUUUCAAUGGCAUGAAAGAAAUCGAUUCAAAGGAAAAGAAAUUAGCAGAGGCUUACCUUGUGGGGUGAAGAAGAGAUAGGGGACGUUUAUGGCGUUCUCCAAAUGGCCCUUGUUGAACUCCUCGACCGUCCUAAUGAAUUAGUAAAAACAAAUUGAAGAUUAGAAUAAGGGGGAAGAAGGAAAGGCGAAGGGAGAAGAGAGGAAAGCGCACCUGACGUCCAGGUAGCGGUGGCCGGAGUACACGAGGCGUUUCGCGGCGUGGACGUCCACGGUCGCAAUUGCUUCCGAGCUACCAGAAAGAGGCGGCCACAGGAAAAGAAGAAACAAGGCGAUAACAUUACAAGAACAAAACCAUUUCAACGCCCAAUGAGAAGCCAUGGCCUUCUAUUCUUUAAAGCUGGUGAAUUAGAGAUUAGAAAAAAAAUAGAGGGGAAAUUGGGAGGGAGAGUGAGGAGAGAAAAAAAGAUUAGAGGGAAUUAAUUUGGUUACCUUAAAAUGGGACUCGUCGAGGGAUCAAAGUAGAAGGAAGAGGAGGCGAGAAUCGGAGGGCGGAGGAGGGAGGGUCUGUGGGUGCCGCCGGUGGUUUUCCAGGCUCUGGUUUUCCUCUCCAACGGCGCCGACGGGGAUAGAAAGGUCCCCCGAUUCCAUAUUUCCGUAUUAUUUUUCUACGAGCAAGAAGGAGAGGUUUUCCCCAUACGUGACCUGAAGUGGGAAUUGUAACAUAUCAACUUCCAAUUGAACGCGAGGCGCGACAUCUGUCCAGUAUUUUUCUUGUACGGACGUAAUGAGCGAUGGCACGCAACACCAUUUAUAUUUUUAAAAAUAAAAAAAUAAUAUAAUUUAGAAUUAUUUCAUUCUAAACUUAUAAUAAUUUUAAUUUAUUUACAUAAUUUUUUUAAUAAUAACUUCUGAUAUUAGUCGUGUUAGAAUGAUGCUGGUGUUGCAUGCAAAAUGGCAAAAAUUUUGGGCCUAAAAAAGAAGCACUACCACUGACGUGGUAGCUCAGAGAAAUUGGCUUUUACUUCCACCCAUGUGGUUCGAAUUCGAAACGUGCGGGCGCCAAUUAAAUACGGAGACCGGAUGCCUCUUGCUCAGAUACGUGGGAUGGGAGGGCUUAUUGGUCCGUUGAUAGCAUCAGUGGUGCCGGGUGUGAUGUACUCACACAGAGGUUCGAAUCGGAGCCUAGAGGAGUAACCAAGCUGGACCACGGAUGGGGAGAGUAUCAAUAAAAACGGCCGGCAUGCCCAACACACGGUCAGUUCUACCAACAUCGAACAUUCUCCUAGCCGGAUGGGAGUCGGGUGGAAGUUGCUACGCGGGGGUGAGCUUGUUCCUUCCUUCCCUCCUUGCCUUUUCGCCUAAAAAAAAAUCUAAAAUUUUAAAAAUAUUUGAAUUAUAUAUAUAUAUAAUUUUUUAAUUAAAAAAUUGAUAUGUAUUAAUAGAGCACCAGCGAGAUAGAGGAAAUACAUGUAAAAUCUUAGUGGUGGCUACGAGACCUGAUGCACUUUAGACUAUGGAAACCGAUGCCAUAAAUGGUGCUCAGCUGGUCUUAUUCUGCCUUCCAAAGCAAGUUCAACAACAAUAUUCGGCAAGCAAACAAGAAAAGCUGUUCUCGUGCAUGGUCAAAUAAGUAUUUCUAUGGAGAAGCCCUGAAUAUUCAACAUCACCAUCAUUGUUCAAGCAUUUUGUGAUCAAAUUAAUGCAGGAUUGGCUAUGUCAUACUUACAGGAAAAAACAUAGCUAAUUAAGGAUAUACAAGUGUUCGGGAAACAUAUUUAAGGAACAAAUUCAAUUUGGUUGCUCCAAAAUUAUGAUACACGUAUUUGCAAACAGUGUGAAAACCAGGUUGUACUCAACAUACUUCGGAUAUAUCUAUAACUAAUGCGAGAGAUUUGUUCAUUCUAAUCCUUUGCUGAAAGCACUAGAAUUGAGAAAAAAAGAAAGGAGGAGACAAUAUUGGAUUGGGCAAGAUCUCAUUAGAAGUGUAUUAUAUAUCCUUUUAAUUAUAUAUAGACCUCUUUUAUGUCACAGUAUAUAAGAUAAAAAAAUAACUAACGAUGGUGUCUGGACGCACACCAAGAGAUUAAGACUCACUAUAGCAUAAGAGAAAAAUAAAAUAUUAACAAAGAGUAAAGGUGUGUUUUAGCAUGCAUCCAUGCACAAAAAGAGAACAAAAUCAAGCCAACAAGAGGAAUAGCUUUUGCUUAAUUGGUUGACUAAAAUUUAACUUAUUUAUAGAAUUACCCUUACCUCAAAAUACUCCAAGGAAAACAAGUAGAAACCAAUUUCUCAUUAAUUUAUAUAUACUCUUUAUACAUGCUUUUCUUUUAUAGUUUCCACAACUAACAUCCUUCGUCAUUCUUUCCUGUUUUCCACUUUGCGGACUCUAGUUGUUCUCCCCGGUAGACUGAAGACCAAACAUAGCCACCCGACUUCCAUUUCUCUGCGUCAAAUAUAUUUGUUACACAAUUAGGUUGGUGUGUGGAAGCAUUGCCAAACAUCGACUUAAGCCUGACUCAUCAUGUAAUACUCGUCAAAAUCAUUUUAUACCGUGUCGAGACGGUCGUUAAGUGAUACCGCUUGGAGGAGUCAAUGACCUGCAAUUUUUGGUCGUAAGAUAUUUCUAGAUUUGGUACGCGUGAAACCGCGUCUAACUUUAGGUGGUUUAGGGUGGUGUAAUUUUUUUUUUUUUUUUUGGUUAUUGUGUGUGUGUUUCAGUCGGAUACACCAUACUAUUCUAAUAUGAGUACAUUCAAAAAAAAUCAGAAUAAAGAAGUGAUGCAAAGGAGAGAUGGAGCGAACUUUUAGCUCUUACAAAGCUAGCAGCUGAAAUGCUGCACAACAAAUGAGGCGACCCAAUCAACUGCGUUGUUCAUUUUAUGAUAAGCAUGAGUAAUCUGUAAAGCCACAGAUGUUCCAUAGCCGUGAGUGCUCAUCUCCUACUCUCAUACAUACUUGGAUCUAUCUAAUCAUAGUAGCCGAAUCUCUUUCUAGAUGGUUGGUUUUGAAUGGAGAAAAAAUUAUCAGUAUUUUUUGGUCAAUCAAGACUUUCCAUAUGCUAAACUGAGAUGGUUUCAUUUAAUUUUAUUUUUUUGAAUUUUUUGCAUAGAUAUCCUUCUAAAUAUCGAAUUUUGCAUAAAUACCAUUUCAAAAUUGAUAUUUGCAUGUAUAUCCUCAUAAAACUUUGUUAUUGUAUAAAUGCCCCUAAUAUAACAAUUGUUUUAACAGUGUUAAGAAAAAAUAUAUUUAUAUUAAUUAAAAAUAAAAUUAAAAAAAUUAUUGUAUUGUCCCUAUCUUUUUAUACUAUCGGGAUCGCGAUCUAUUUCCAUAUUUAUCCAUUAAGGAUAUUUUAGUCAUUUUAAUUUAAAACCGUUAAUUUUUUAGCGUCAUUAGAUAGCAUUGGUAUACAUGCAAAAACAAAAAUAAAAAUAGAAUAGAAUAGCAAAACAAGUAUUUUACGAAGAUAUACAUACAAAUAUCAAUUUUGGAAAGGCAUUCAUGUGAAAUCUAAUAUUUAGAAGGAUAUUCAUGCAAAAAACUCUUUAUUUUUUAUUGGCUCGUUGUUUUUUUGGAGCGACUUUUCGUUUUAUUCACUAUAUUCUCAUCUCAUUAUUCAUAUUUUUCAUUUUUGAUAUCGUUUUAUUUUUAUUUAUUUAUUUUUAUAUGUGCAAUGCGCACGCCAGUUUUCUAGAUGAUAUAAGGCUCCCGUUAUUUAACCACCAAAGUGGAAUCAACAAAACAGAAGCAAGCCAACCCGAGAAAUUAGACGACCAAAAAGGGCAGGUCAACCGGAGAAGUUCCGCAUGGCAGUCUGCCCGACCACUUCUCGCCGUCAUCAUCCCCAGCCCCUCUCACCGUCGCCUCAUAAUCCCCUGCCCCUCUCGCCGACGCCGCUAUCAGAAAAGCCCAAGGCCCGGCCCGACGUCCCAAGCUACCAGGCCAGAUGGGGCUCCAGUCUAGCUAAUUUUGGUCAUAUGUGGGGCUUAGCCUGGGCCGAACCCGGCCCGGCCUGCCUGAUAAGCAGGUCUAGUAGCGGACGUACCGUCUCUCCAAUAUCGGAGGUAAGGGCAGAGACUCCCAUACAAGGUUUAUCACAGUACAUAAAAAAAAAAAGAAGAAAAAGAGGAGGAAGAAGAAGAUUACAACAAACGGUCAUUUUAUACAGUCACCGUAUGCUGACAUCAUAAAAAUAGGUUACAUGCUAAAAGCAGAGAUCAAUUCAGUGCCAGUUCCCGAGCAGCUCCGUAUCAGCUCAACACCCCCUCAUGCUCAUCAAAAACCAAACACGCGAGUGAGACACAUCCGCGUCAGAACACAGCUAAACACCGAGUACUCUCAGAAGGGUACACGAGAAUACAGAAGAUGCACAAAUGGGUAGAAGGAUUAACAAAUGAGAGCAUGACGAGGCAAACAUGACAAGAAGCAUGAAACAGAUGGUUGGAAAGGACAGUUGAUUGCUCCCAGCUUUUGCCUGCAUUGCAUUGUCCAUAGAGAAGUGCAUGCUCUAGAUUCAUAUGCACACCCCUCGGAUCUUACAGAAGGCACGAAAUUCCAUGAAGACAUUCGAAGCGGAAGCGUAAGCUGCCAAGCUUAUUCCACUUACAGAUGCAACACGAGUAGAAGAUGGAUAACUCGUAAAUAGUUGCCAAACUUAUUCCAUCACUCAGCCCAAUGCAAGUUGAUUUGCUUAAAAUCAAGUAGCCUAUUCUCCCGAGCUCAUUUCAUGCUUGCAAAUUGGGCAGAACGUUCCCCAUUUCGUCAGCCAUGAGUCCACACAAACUGCAUGGAAAUCUGUGAAGGAAUUUAUGAGUUAAUGUUGACAAGUGGGGAAAAAGAUGCAAAUCGCAUCCUCCAUGAUUAAUAAGCUUAAAUAGUCACCUGCGUCUGGCUUCAUGUAACCAAAUUCAAAUGCAGAAAGUAAUUUUGCCAGGUCCUUAUCAUCAGGAACACAGGUUUUAACUAGUUAAUACUCAGGAAUUAAAAGAUAUUAACCGUUCCAAGGUUUGAAGAACACGCGCUAUUUUACAAUUCACCAUGCAGGGAACAUCACAUUUGACUUCAAGUGACAGUAGAAUCUAAAAGUAUAAGUUCUGGUGACAGGCCAAGAAUCAAACAUUCUAAAGUUGUCAUGUUGCAGUUAUAAAUGCCAAGAUUCUUGUCGAAAGAAGCAUCUGGUUUUCAAGUGCACACAAGCCCCUCGGUUGUCAUCCAACAACAGAAUUAGCAAUCAAGUAAUGGUUCAACUAACACAAGUAUAACUUUUCAUUGAAUAGAUUAAAACUAAAUAUGCGAAUCCAGCUUACCAUGAAGACAGGGAAGAACCCUCAGUCUCUCUCCAUCUCUGUAAUCCUCAAGACAAAUGGCACAAGUUUCUGCCAUGCGCUUGCUAUUGACAUAGGAACUUUUGAAUGUGAAAGAAGGAAGUAGUUCCACUGCCUGUCUGUUCAUACUAGGAGGCCGCUUAUGGGCUCCAUGCCUUAGAAGCCGACAAUUUCGAGCAAAGAGAAAUGCUGCAAGAACUGAUACUAUGACAACAAGUGAGACAAAAGAAAUCACCAACACUGUUCCAGCAGUCUCAUCCAUAGAAGAACCUAUACAACAUUCUCCUUCUUCACCUCGAGCAAAUUUCUUUAGUGUCUCACCUGCCAUCUUUGAAACAAAUACUGCAUGUAUAUAAAUGCCCGUGGAGUCCCCGAUCACUACAGCCAAAAAACAAAUGAUUAAUUGACAGUGUAAAAGAGGGACAAGAAACUGCACAAGAGACAAAAGUGUGCAGCAUUAUGAAUGGACUAAAAGAUGAUAUGGAUCUGCCAUAGUUGUCACAGUAGCAGUAUAGGGCAAGCAGGUAUUGGGAUUGUUAUAUCAACCCAAGCAAGUGGAGCAAAAGCCUAGGAUAAAUUUAGCCUACAAGGUUGACAAUAAAGUCAAGCAUAAAAUCCACAUAUAGAUUCGCUUCAAGUCAACCAAACCCUCCUUGAACUAAUCUACAAAUAUGGCAAACCAACUACUUCCUGACAUCACAAUCUGGCCAAGACUUAGGAUUGAAUGCCAAGCCCAUCUCAAUGAUAUAUCCUUCAUGAAGCAUGAAGAAUAAAUUAAGUAUAUUAAUCGUAAUAACCAAUUACACAGUCGAUAUAUACAUGGAUUUGACAUCGCACAAUUGGAUACCAGUGUCGAACAUAACAGGUUCUCAAAAUCCAAGUACGUUGACACAGGGGUUAUAGAUCUAGGCACAUACAUAUGCAUGUCCUCAUGUGGCCUAUGCUGCUAAUGUACAUACAAUUAUGUAUGCACUAAAUGAAAUGUUUGCAUGUGCCAGACACUGCAAAAUGAAAACCUGUUCGACUAGAUUAACAAAAUAGGAUUCUCAGUUUAUGCUACAUGAGACUCCUGUGGUGAAAACAAACCAAACUAAAUUAGAUAAACAUGGAAAUUUUCACUCAAGAAAAAAAUGAAAACAAUGAAAAAGUUGAAUUCUUUGUUUAUUUGCAUGUUAUUGAGUAGUAAGGAUUUUGAUUUGGUGUAUCAAGUGGAGAGAACCUAACAACUUAUAAAUUUAAUUUUACCAAUGUGCUAGCUUAACUUCUGGGGUGGACUCUGUAGUUUCCUAAAAGUUCUAGAUCAGUUGCCUUUGGUCCAACUUCGCAAUGCAUGGUUAUGUCUAUUAAAUUUAAGGGUCAUUACAGAUAGGUUGAGAGCCAUCUAUGAUCACUGGAACCUUUUUCUGAUGCAUUUGGAAAUGAUUCAAUGUGGAAAUGAUUUCAAAUAAAAGAACUCAAAAUGCUUAGAUGUUCUUGGCAAGAAUCUAUAAGAGCAUAUGAAUCAAUCAAUAUUGUUUGGUUGUCAACUCCACAUCUGUCUUCUUUGUCUUCUUUGCCUUUCUUCCACUUUCAACAUCUCUUAUUUACCACCACUGUAUCAGACUAUUUGCAUCAUGAUCUGUUCCAGGGCCAUCUGUUUUAUGAUUGUUUCUUUUGGCAGAAAUUGGUAAAACUUGAGUUGUUUAUCUGCCUUCAUGAGGACUGUCUAAUAAAGAAGAUUUUUCUGUCAUAACUUCUUUGAAUAAUAACUGAAGGUGUGUUAACCUUAAACAGUAAUAUAAACUUGUUCCAUCAGUGUAACGUAUCUCCUUACAUUUAAUCCCCAAUAUUCACAGUCAUACUUCUAUAACCUUCCCCCAACAAGAUAUACUACACAUAUAACCUGAACAACUCCAUAACCACGGGGGGAAUGAAAAAUGUAUAUUCAUACUUAGAUUU
This 66108-nucleotide long non-coding RNA is filed under the name Phoenix dactylifera (date palm). RNAcentral describes it as "long non-coding RNA (PDAC_LNC000556)". The record is from RNAcentral. Lineage: Eukaryota; Viridiplantae; Streptophyta; Magnoliopsida; Arecales; Arecaceae.